This 85451-nucleotide long non-coding RNA is filed under the name Solanum lycopersicum (tomato). Its description in RNAcentral is "long non-coding RNA (SLYC_LNC000912)". Lineage: Eukaryota; Viridiplantae; Streptophyta; Magnoliopsida; Solanales; Solanaceae. The record is from RNAcentral.
AUAUACUCGCGUAGCUAUGACAAAAUCUCCUACAGGUGUAGCUACCUCAAAUGGUUCUAUCAACUCAGACUCUAUUCCAAUCCUACUAGCAACAAAGGGAGAUAUAUAUGAUAAGGUGCAACCUUGGUCUAUCAAUGCAUACACACUUCGGGAGAAUAGUGAUAAUAUACCUGUGAUCAUAUUAGGUGACGCCUCCUGAUCUUGCCUAUUAGUCAAAGUAUAUAUACGGUUUGAGGGACCGCUAGAACUGGAAGCUCCACCAUGUCCUCUACCACGGCCUGCUGGCGCCUGAAUACCCUGCCCCGUAGGGCGCAUAGCCACAGAAGAAGAUGAACCAGCAACGGACCCUGUGGGCUGUGCCAUACCACCUGCACUACCUCUAAGGUGACACUCCCUCAUAGUAUGGCCCUGACGGCCGCAAAAAAAAACACGCACCUGUAGCCCAACAACAUUCCCCAGGAUGGGACUUACCACGACGAGAACACUGAGGAAAAGGUGGCCUCGACUUGCUCAAACCCCUGCCCAUCUGUGAUCCUGACGCCCUAGAGCUCUGACCAGCUUCCAAAUAUCUCAUACGAUCGAACCCCUUACCCAUGAAACGUGGGGGUGCACUCUGUGCUGGCUGGGAAUAAAAUCUAACAUGCUGCUGAGACUGCCCGCUUUGAAACUCGUUAGGAUAACCUGCUGAUCUAGCCCUCUUAUGCUGGACUCUAUUAUAAUCUCUAUCUGGCUGACGUCCCCGGUGCCGAUCCUCUACCCCCUGUGCAUAUGCCUGCACCCGAGCAAUGUCCAUACCUAGCUGAAGAGUCACUGCCAUACAACUGUCAAUCAAAUAACGAUCCAAUCCCAUCACAUAACGAUGUACCCUGUCUGCCAUAUCAGCCACAAUAGUAGGCGCAUGCCUAGCCAAUGAAUCAAACUCGAGGCUAUACUCUCGAACACUCUUGCCAUUUUGCUUCAAACACAAGAAUCUAUUGACUCUAGCUCACUUCAUCUCUGGAGGCAGGAAGUGGCCCUGGAAAGCCUCCACAAAUUCAUCCCAUACCGCUGGAGGAGCACCCUCACCCCUAGAUAACUCCCAAGACUCAUACCAAUUAAUAGCUACAUCCUGCAAACGAUACAUAGCCAGCUCAACAGACUCGGCCUCCGAAGCCUUGAUUAUCCUCAAUGUACGCUGCAUCUGACGAAUAAACUCUUGAGGAUCAUCCUGGGGCCUUGACCCAAAGAACUCUGGAGGAUUACAACUUAAGAAGUCACGAGCCCUUAAGCUAUCAGAUCUGUCCGCAUGAUCAACUCCUAGUCCAUGCCUGCGAGCCUGAUCUGCAACUUAUCUAGUCAGCAAUUUAACCUCAUCUCUCAUGGCCCUAUCCUCCGCCCCUAACUGAGGAGUUGGAGGUUCAGAUGUUGGGGCCUCGGGGGCUGGUGGUGUCCCCCGAACUGGAGCUGCUGCUGCUCUAAGCUCCUCUGGCGGUGGCGGUGUAUUAGAGUUCUCCGACUGGAGCAUAAUACCAGGCAUAGACUGGGCACGGGCCCUAGUAACUCUCCGGGUCUUACUAGUACCUUCUGCUACCGAUUUUCCCUUCUGGGCGGCUGUCGCUUUCUUUGGAGGCAUAGUUGAAAACACACGGAUUCGUUAGAGAGGGAUUAUCCUGUUAAUAUAGCUCUAUCGCACGAUCUAGAAUAAGAAGAAAGAAUGACAUCCUAAAUGUCCUGUAGCUUCCUGAUUAUAGAUGUGGUGCACAACACACCGAUAAAAAAGACUCUACAUAACACGGUCCGUAGACACUUCUAAGGAAGAACCACUCUGAUACCACUCUUUGUCACGACCCAACCCGAUAGGCCGUCACUAGUGCCCGUUUUGGACAUCCACAUACAAACCUGCUAAGUAUAACCAACUGAAACUAAGACAAUAUGGAAUUUAAUCAAAUCAAGCCAACCCAACGUCAUAUAUAUAUAUAUAAAGUGGACCUGUCUCAUAAGUAGUCAUAACUAUUCAACCAUAACAGCAUACGCGCGCCGACAAGGCCGCCACUAUUCAAAGCAUAAUAACAUACGUAAGCCGACAAGGCUGCCACUACACAGUACACAAUGAUGUACGCAGACGACAAGGCUGCCCCUGUACAAGCGGACACCCCAAACAAACCAUGUCCAGACCAUUAUCCAAAACAUAUAUAUACAACCCACAUAAUGUCCACAGACCUCUAAGAGUACGUUAGUGAAACUCGACGGGACAGGGCCCCCCCAUACCCAUAGACAAGCAAAAGACUACACAAAAGUUACGUACCAAAACGACUGGGCUCCGGAACAGUGGAGCUCUCCCAAUCAGCAGAGUAGAUAUCCUAGGCGGGAGGAUCACCGAGCUGUGCGUCUACACCUGCAGGCAUGAAACGCACCCCCCGAGGAAAGGGGGGUCAGUACGGACAAUGUACUGAGUAUGUAAAGCAUAAGGCAAAGAAGACAAGAUACCAAUAUGGCAAGUCGAAACAAAAUAUCGCUACACAUGCACCCUUUUAAGUGAAUAUCAUGCAUAUCUUUAACAUAUAAGGUGCCGAGCUUCCCUAGUAAGGGGCUCGACAAAAUAAUCAUCACGUCAUCUCCGUCAUCAUCAUCAUCAUCAUAACCAUCCUCAUCACUAAUCAUAUAUAUAAUAUACAUACCCGGCCCUCUAGUGAGGAACUCGGUGACAUAGCAAAAUAUUAUGAGCAACCAUAUGCAAUUAAAAUCAUUUCUUAUAACUCAAACAGAACAAUCAACGUGAACCAGCAAGGAGUAUUACCAAAGAUUAAUAUUUUAUCAAGAUUAUGAACCUUUAAUAGGAUAUGGAAACGUAAAAUCUCAAUGACUCUAAGAAGCACUACCAUAGAUAUGAGAGAUCAUCAUAGCCUUAGACAUAGCCGAUAUAUAGAGGAAUAAUUGUGGGAGCAAGAACAUACGUCACCUAGAUGCUCUAGAGGUAAGUAUCAAAUCUGUCUGUUAUUCGCUUAUUUUUAAAAGUCAUGCCAAACAAAGAAAGAAGGGACAGCGUUACAUGCCGUAUAAUCGAGCCGCACGUCCAAUUUUUACUUCUCAAGCUAUUAAUCUAUAACAAGCAACAAUCGUGCCGCAAUUAGAUAAACAUCGCGCUUUACUUUCUUGUAAGCUAGCUAAUAAUCUAACGAAAAUUUGGCAGCACUUCCCCUAUUUUCCUUACUUCGUCCCAAUACAACAACAAUCCAAAUUAUCCACAACAAUACCAAUAACACAUAUAACCCAACGAAUCGUAUUAAAUAGCCCCCUCCCCAAAACAGUUCCGUCUCGGCAACCAUAGCAGCGAAGCAACGACACACCGAGCGAUAACUCAUUUUAUAAUUCACAACACAUCUUAUCGUAUUCAUCUUUUGGAGUAUAUACUCAUAAUCACAUUCAACAUAUACAUAAUGCCAAAACAGAAUUUUCCUGCAGUUUGCUUUAAUCAAAACAGCCCAACCACCAACAUGACACCACUAAUAAUCCGAUUAUGGUUUCCAUUUAUACUUAGCACAUUCAAUAACUAAAACAAAAUUCCUAAGCUACUGGUCACGCCCCCUUCUUAAAAUUAAUGGAUAAUUAACAAGGGUAUUCUAAAUAAUUAACACACCAAACAAGGAGAUUACUAACCAAAUUAUUUGCAGCUGCUGGCCAAGAGUUGCAGGGUUGGUUUCUCCAUUUCCAUGGCUGCCUAAGACAAGUGGUGAAGAAGAAGAUGAUAUGCAGCAAUGCAUUUCACCACUUUAUUUAGCAUGGAGUGGAUUUCUCCACCUCAUUUAAUAGUAUAAAGUGGAGGCAGCCUCCCUCUACACCUGUCCACUAAGGCCAGCUCACAAUCUGAUCCCUUUUUAAUUUUUGCCUUGAGUGGUUGGGCCCACUGGAUUAAAUUAAUCCUAAUCAGCCACCAAUUAUGAGUGGUGGGGCCCAUUGGAUUAAAUCAAUCCAAAUUAGCCACUAAUUAAUCCCUCACUUAAAGUUAAUGACACUUACAUUAGUCAACUCGUACUUAAUAUCACAUUUGGAAAUAACAUCCUUGCCUAAUUUUUCUUUACGUCUACUAGAUCACGAUGCGCACUACGUAUAAAAAAAAUACGAGGCAUAACAAUCACGAAGAAAUGUCAUCUAUAAAUAGCUUGACCACCAUAUAUAUCGAAUCAAUGAAAGAUGAUGGUUCAUUUUUUAGCCUGAAUGACAUGACUAAGAUCUCAAAAUGACCAUACCGUGUUCGAAAAGUUGUCUUCGGUAUAUAUUUUUCCUUGAUCCUCACUUGGUGAUAACUUGACCUUAGGUCAAUCUUUGAAAAACACCUAGCACCUUGUAACUGAUCAAUCAAAUUAUCAAUUGUAAGGAGGGUUAUUUGUUCCUAAUUGUUACCGUAUUUAACUGCCGGUAGUCGAUAAACAUUCUUAGCGAUCCAUCUUUUUUGCGUACAAAUAAAACUUGUGCUCCCCAUGGGGACAUACUAGGCCUUAUGAAUCCUUUUUCUAAUAAGUCUUUUAAUUGCUCCGUAGACUCCCAUAGUUCUGCCGGAGCAAUUCUAUGUGGAGGAAUUGAGAUCAGUUGAGUAUUUUGAAGCACAUUAAUACCAAACUCUUUUUCUCGUCCUUGAGGCAAACAUAGAAGAUCCUCAGGAAACACAUCGGGAAAUUCAUUUCAAUUGGAAUAGAUUUAAGGGUUUGUGGCUAUGCAUCUACAUUUUUCACUCUUACUAGGUGACAUAUGUAUACAUUGAAAAUAAUCUUCUUUUCCUUGAGAUAAGAAAUAAAUUUACCUCUCGGUGCCCUAUUAUUAUCUUUCCAUUAGAGACAGCCUCUUUUGGAAACUGGAAAUGCACUAUCUUAGAUCGACAAUCUACCAUGGCAUAAAAAGAAACUAACUAAUCCAUACUGAUUAUAAUAUUAGUAUCUACCAUAUCUAUCUCAACAGGUCUGCUAAUGUAUUGCCAUCACAAAUACUUACAAUGCAUUUACGAUAAACUUUUCUAGAUAUAAUAGACUCACCAAUCGAUGUUGACACUUCACAUGGUUUCACUAAUAUUUCUGGUGGUCCUUUUGAACUCUCCAGAAAACAAUGGUAUAACAUAUGAUACUGUAGAACCCGGAUCAAUUAAUGCAUACACAAUAUGUGAAAAGAUGGACAAUGCACGUGUAACCACAUUCAGUGAGGCUUCUGAAUUUUGUCGAUCCCCUAGUGCAUAUGUGCGCUUGUGACCUCCACUAGAACUAUCUUCUCCCCUAGCUCCUCUACCACGGCCUGUAGGCAUCAGUAGCCCCUACCCAAAGAAGGUGUUUAUGAUUUUGAUGCAACAACUGAUCUAGUUUGUUGUUCAACGCCACCCACGCCCCUAUGAGGGCAGUUUCUCAUCAUAUGCCUUGGUGUGCCACACCAAAAACAAAAAAAAUUCCAAAACCUGCAGGCGCCUAGAUGAUUCCUUCCACACAGUUUACAAGGUGUCGAGGAGGCAUUGAUUGCCUCGUACAUCCGUAUUCUUGAUGAACCACUAUUUGUGAGACUUGUUUUUUACUUCUUUGACCAAACUUAUUGCCCCUAAACCCUUGAAAUUGUGAUGGAGCGCUAGUUGUAGAGUAAAAAGAUUAUGGCCUAGGUGGUCUGUUAUAGAACACAGGCUUAAACUCACCUUUUGAUGGUGUAAACUGCCCCAUGGAUCUGGCCCUCUUAGAAUGCCCUGUUUUCGACUCUUGUGUCCUUCUUUUCCUUUGAUCCUCCAACUUUUGCUCAAAAGCCUGCAUCCUUGCUAUAUCCAUAUCUUUAGUCAAUGAAGAAUUGGUACAUUCUCUAACUAAAUAUAGGUCUAAUCUAUACACAAUGGAUUAACUCUAUCCUCUAUGGUAGCUACUACAUUAGGUGUACAUCUUGCCAAAGAAUUGAAUUUUAGACUGUACUCUUUCAUGCUCAUACCUCCUUUGUGGAGAUUUAAGAGCUGAUAUGCAUGGGACUCUCGGAUCUCCAAUGGAAGAUAAUGGUCAAGGAAUUCCCUUUUGAACUUUUUCCAUGUAGCUGAAGGUGGAUUCGUUCCCAUAGAUUUCUUCCAUGAUUCAUACAACAAUAUAUCCACCCUUUAUUCUAUAUGCUGCUAGCUCAAGUGCUUCUCUAUCACUUACAUGCAUACUAUCCAAAGUGCGUUUGAUCUUAUAUAUAAAGUCUUGUGGAUCUUCACUAGGAUCUGACCCGGUGAAUUAUGGAAGGUCAAAGUUAAGAAAAUGAUUUAACCGUGUUCCAGCUGCUUUAUCUACACAACUAGUACCUGCAACUGGACCUUUCUUGCCUUUAGCCACGACCAACAAAUAUACGAGUCAAUAAUUGGAUUGCAUUCCUCAAAUCUUGCUCAAUAGAAUUAAUAGGGGGUUCUAGAGGUUCAUCUUCGCUCCUCAAUUAUUCAGGAGAUGGAGGCUUGGGGAAGUCUGUGAUAGAGACUAAUCUUGAGUCCCACUUUGAACAGCUUGACUUGGUUGUGGUUGGCUGGUCCCUUCUUGGGCAGCCACAAUUAAGACUCUACACAGAUACGAUUUUGUAGACUCCCUAGGAUUACCUACUCUGAUCCCACUUUUGUCACGACUCAAAUCUUAUUAAGGCAGACAGGUACACGAUGCCUUAAGGUCCUGAGAGAACCAACCUCAAUUUUGUUCUUACUAUGCAUAUAACUAUAACAAUCAUGACAAGUUCAUAAAGGAAGCAGUGAUAAAAACCAACAUUAUAGACCCAAAAAAUUAUGUACAAGAUUUGGUUGUUGAGGCCACAACUCCUUAAGUCAUAACCGAACCAUCUGCAUACUUCUACAAAGCAUCUAAAAAGAUAGAAGACCUAGAGUAGGUUGGGAAAGACCCCGCCUUACCCUUAACUACGAUGCAAUGCCAAAAUAAAUUUAUCAAGGACUCAAUAAAGCUCUGAAUAAACCUGGAGCUCACCAAAAGUAUCUGAUAGCAUGCUCUUACUAAGGAGGUCUACUAGCUCGAGUACCUGUGCCUACAAAAUUAAAUGCAGCGUCCCCAGCGAGGGAUGUCAACACAAAAAAAAUACCAAAUAUGAAAGCAUUUGUAAUACGAGGGCUAAAAUUAAAUCAAGUAUCAACAUAUGAGUGCGUAGAUAAGGAGAGAAGACCACCUCAUGUAAGUUACAGUGUUUUCUUUACUUUUAUGUAUGUUAUAAUCUUUGUAAGGCAUGUGAUACAAGUUACCAGCUGAUCACUGGUAAGAGGAUGACCCAUGCUAGGCAUAUUAACCCCUGGGAUGCGCUCCUUAGAAUUACACAAUUGGGAUCGGCCCAUGUUAGGCAUUCUCCCCUGAGCUACCACCAUUCUAUACCAACAAGGUUUGGUCCAUGCUAGGCUUUUGCCCUGAGCUACUACGCUUAUGUACCUGUUGGGAUCGACCCAUGCUAGGAUUUCGCUCCUGGGCUGCCAACCAUAAUUAUAUAGAUUUCUUCACUUAAAUUCUUUAAUGCUUGAGAUUGUUGUUUAUUAGUUCAUAAAUCUUUUUCAGGUUGUUCUUUGAUAAUCGUUACUUUUUUGAGAUGUUAUUUUUGUGUUCAUAAUCAUUUUGGAUAUAUGGAAGUAUGGACCAGUAAUAGAAGACAAGAAAAUAAUACUUCAAAGCAAUAAUAAUGACAUAAGGAUCUAUGUAACAUCAACUCAUUACUUUAAGAGCAUAGUGACACAAUUGACUUCAAACCAUAAAGAGGAAGAUUCACCAGUAUUGCUUUUGCUAAUACCAUUUCUAUACCAACACAUCGGGGGCUAAUUACACAUGUAUAAAAUAGUGAACGUAUAAUGAAGUAGUUAUAUGAACUACGGAGAGGGGGAAAUAUUGUUAGCCGUUUGGAGAUAGUACGUUGCCACUAUGUUUCCUUUUCUAGGAAUAGAACAUAUGAGAUUCACUUCAAUGGUAAUAAUGGCAAGUAUCAUAUUUCAUGCAAAAGGGAUAUAGAAUAGAAUAGCCUUACAUACCUUAUCCUUUGACUAAUAUUACUAUCCCGAUUUAGCCUCACCUUUUCGGUUUGUAUCUAUAAUUUAGUUCAUUGUAAACUAAAUUUAGCAGCUUUCACAUUGUGAUCCUCGUAAAACAGUAACUAACUUUGACAUUUAAUGAACCCAUCCAGCCCAUAACAUAACGUGUAUCACCACACCCUCAUUCUAUGUCCAACACAUAUAUUAUAUAUCCUUACCCUAAGAUCAAUGAAGUUACACCAACAAUAACAAACUUACAACAUCCCCAAAUAUUCUUUAUCGUACAACCAAUUAUUGAAUUCACACCCCCCCAAACAUCCUCAUUGAUAAGAUUUUCUUCAUCAGUAAAUAUUCCUUUGAAGUGUUCACAAGCUACAUGAGCAAUGUUGUCGUCACCUUGUAUCCAAUAUCAAUUUUCAUUGGUAACUUUGUGAAUAAAAAGCUUUCUUCUUCAUCCCAUUAUUACUAAAUGGAAGUAUUAAGAAUUAGUAUCACCUUCUUUAAUCCAUUGGAGUUGGGUUUUUUGUUUCAAAAUAGUAUCUUCCAGUUUGAGAAAUUUGAUGUACUUUGCAUUAAUUUCGUGAUGGAUGCUUCUAUUUGAGUCACUUUGGUUAUUGAUGUAGUUUUCUUCAGCUUUAUGCACUUUUUCCUCAGACAUCCUAACCUUUUGGAAAAUAUCACCAAAUUCUUUCUUAGACCAAACACUAAGAGUAUUUGAUAGCCUUUUCAUUUUUUGGUGAAAUGUUUACAUGCCAGUACCUACUACUUCCUUCUCCCAACAGGUUUUAACAGUUUACAUGAAAUGAGGGUUAUCCACCCAACAAUUGAGAAAUCUGAAGUACAUUGUGUGAUAAGUUAUUGUGGAAACCAUUUCAAUGAGUAAAGGACAAUCAUCAGAUACAGUAGAUGACAAGUGAGUUAUAGUGGUUUGAGGCAUCUUUUCCAACCAAGAAUCAUUUAUCAUAGCCCUAUCAAGCCUCUUCCGAAUUCUGUGAUUGAUACCCCUCUUGUUAGACCAUCUGAAUUUAUUACCACUAAAACCAAUGUCCAAAAGGCCACAGGCUUCAAUGUCAGCAAUAAAGUCCAUACUGUUCCUCAUGUUGUAAGGCACAGCUCCAAGUUUUUCCUCCACAGAAGUUAUAACAUUAAAAUCUCCAACAGUACACCAAGGGUUCUCAUUCAAAGAGGCUUGCUGAAUCAUUUUAACCCAAAAAGAUCUCAUGAGGUGAUCUUUGCAUUUAGCAUAGAAAAAGGUACUAGUAAAUUGAUAUUGUUAUUCAUUGUGUUUCAUGUUGCAAGUGAUUUGCUGUUCAUCUUCAUCAAGAAUAUUACAAUGAAUAUCACUGAUCCAAAAAAACCCUAAUUUUACCAUUACAAUUAGUAGUAGCAUUAUCCAUGUUUAAAUGAACCUUAAAGCUUUGAACAUGGACAAUAUCAUAGAAAGGUUCCAAAAUAGUGAUAAUAGAUAAUUGGUGAAGCUUUCUGAGCAUUUUGAGUCUCUCCAACACCACGUGAGUGUUGAUCCCUCUCACAUUCCAUACUAUUGUACUAAUAAUUUGGAAGAUCUAAAGGAAAAGAGCCUAGUAUUAGGUAUGCCAGCUGUGACAGUAUUGACAUCUUGCUUCUUGAAGUGAAAUUGUCUUGAUGGAAACCCCUAGGAGAUAAACAUUGAUUUUGUGCUACCUGUUAAGGUCUGAUCAUUAUGAGGACUAAAGGCCUUAAUAAGGGCCUCACUGAUACGCUCAAACUUACUUCUCAAAUAAGAAGUAAAGCGGUCGUAUCAAGUAAAUAACCCAACUAAUGAGGUUGGGAUUGUUCCCACGAGGAAAAUUGUUUAGACUUAACUUCAAUCUAUUAUUACUAUUGUUCAGUCAAUUAUUUCCUUGGAAAAUAAUGACAAUAAAAAGGUUUUUUUUACUUCUAAAUGAAUGAACAUAACUAGAUAAAUUGAAGGAGACAACUAACAGCUUCAAAUGUUCGAGUUUAAUCGAUUAAUCAAAGUAACUAGGGUUUAUGUGUUCCCCACAGGUUCAUAACAUGAUAAUAUCUUGCAUGCAAUGUGAUAAGUUAAGUAUUUCUAAAUCCUCGGUCCGGCAUCUAGAAAAUUUCACUCCGCACCUUGGUUAGGCUACGUGUGUUGCUAUACUAACCCUUACCUUUACCUCAUAUUAAGAAUCAUAUUCAAUAUUUGACUAAGUUAUUACCUCGUACCAAUCAAUACUAGCCUAUUAGAUAGUAUACACUAAAUCUAUGUUGAUAAUUCUUUUCCUAUUAUCUACCUCCUUGGUCUGGCAAGUAGUGUUAAGGCGAGUUCUAACGUUGGCCAUCCGUAAAAAGACUUAUAAGUGAAAGAAUUAUCAAUACAUGCAAGAAACUAUUCUAGAAUUAUUAUUUUAGUUAGGUUUUACCUUAUUAUUCGUCUAUGGUUCCCACAACCCUAGUUAUGGAGUUUAGUUACCCAUAGUCAUAGUCACAACAUUCAAAUAUGUAAUAUAAGAAUUCAUGCAGUUACUUAAUGAGAAAGAAUAAAAUCCAAAAUUUCACUUGAUUAAUCAACAAAAGUCACCAACAAUAAAUUACUGAAAUUAAUUGAAGACUAAAGAUUCUCCAAAAGUGUAACAAUAAUCACCGAAUCUAAUCUAGAAAAGAAGUUCAAAAAAUCAAGAGUCCAAAAAUAAUCCAGAGUCUAACCAAAAAAUGAGGUUUUUUGAACUAUUUAUAAAAAAUAAAAACCUAAUUAAAUAAGGACUCUAUUUGCUGGAAAUCUGUCAAAACGCGGCUGGGUCGACGGACCUCGCAAUGGAUCAUCGUGGUCACGACGGACCGUCAUGGAUUCCGUCAUCCCAUACUUAUGCAUUUUCUUUUGCUGCUCUCUUCAUUACCCUCGACGGCAGGUAUGACGGAUCAUCAUAGGCACAAUGGUCCGUCGAGGGUCUCUGUUUCAAAACACUUGAGCUCUUGGAAUUUGGGUACUAGGACUACUUCUCUGAUCUUCAUGACGAACUAGUAGGACGGACCGUCAUGGCUACGACGGUCCGUCACGUACUCCAUAACUCCACACAUGGUCAGAUUUCCCCAUCUUCCUUCAGCAGCUGCACUACGAUGCCACCUACGGACCGUCACGAGCACGACGAACUGUCACAAGCUCUGUAAGUGGUACUUUUCUUUAUUUCUUGCUCAAAAACCUCCACAUUCAUCUUUUAGAUAAAUUUCCUGGAAAUAGAUAGAAACUUACAUUAAAAUUAGUAUAAAAAGGCUUUUGGACACACUAAACUUAAGGAAAAAGUAUUAAAAAUACCGUGAAACCACGGUAUAUUAACACCCUCAACUUAAAUUUGUUGUUUGUCCUCAAGCGAUGCACUAUGACUCAAUACAAAAUCUUUGUACAAUAGUAUCCAUGUUUUAUCUUUCGCAAUCAUUUGACUAUUAAUCCCCAUCAGUCUCAUCAUGUUUAUGAAUGCUAUCACCAUGACACAGACUCAACAUGCACUAACACCUAUCCUCUUCAAUUUCUCACCGGGGUGCUAAUAUUUCCGGUAUUGCAACUAGUGUCCUCGCUUCAAAAUACUCAUUUUUCACACAAUGAUUUCAGUUUGAGUAUACGGAUUACUUUUAAACAGUCACUCUCAGGAAAAAUUCACACUCAUUUAUACAUAUUGUCAUAAGCUUGCCCUUAUUUUUACAGCUUUAUGUUCGCUAUACAACUCUUAGGAUCACGAUAGGACUUUCUUAGCUCAUAACAUAGGCUUAGGGUAAGGUAGGGUAUAUUUAGGUAUACCUUAGUGACUUUUUGCCCUCCUUGACAUAUCGGCUAAACAUACCACUUUUUAUCAUUUAUUUCGCCCAAUUUCUCAUAUUCUUUCACCUUGCUAUUUUCCCUUCUUUCUUCAUUUGUGUAAGUGACUCUCUUCUUUUCAUGCUUGUAUUUCUUGAAUAUUUUUUUAUUUUAUUAUUUUUUUUUUAUUUUUUUUCACUUUUCUUUCAAUUAAUUCUUGAGUCACUUUAAUUUUGUUCUUUCUCUCUCUUUGUUCUUUCUACCCCACUUUAAAGAGCAAUCCUCAUAAUAGCCACCCUCACUCAUGGCUUUGGCAUGAGUCAAAGUACACAAUAUCCAAAGUUGGGUCGGGGCCAUAAAAAGGGUUGUUUACUGCAUUAGCCACCCUCAACUUAUGCUUUUGGCAUAAGCUGAGGUGCACAUGUCCGAGGUGGGACCAGGGCCAACACAUUAUUCUCAGAAGAGUUCAGUUGGGUGAAAAAGAAAGGUCUAGUUUAAGCUGAAAUCAUUUGGAUCAAAGAAGGAUUAAUUUUAUUUGGUUUUCUUUUAUUUAGGCUAAAUAUAUGGGCUAUAUUGAAUAAGGGCCUAUGAUCCUUUCCUAAUUGUCUAUUACAGCUUACUUUUAGCAGGACUAACCAGGCAAGUUCUAGCUCAGUACAAAUAGUGGACUAUUCAAAUCUUCCUCACACUCACUUGACAUGUCAUUACUCUACCAGAUUAUUAGACACCUAGUUCGAAUUUUAGACUUAGGGUCAUGCAGUGGUGUACCUCUAUGUCAUGAUUAGAGCCACACAUUUAUCAAUUACUAUGCCUAGUCAUGCAUCAUUUUCAUUUUAUCAGGAUAUCAUUUUAGCCAUCAUGCUUCAGAAUUAAACUAUGUACACAAGAAAUAGACAUGCCGGUUCAACAGAAAAAAUAAUCAGUCUCAUGGGGAAAAAGAACGCAGGCAUGAAAACACCGAAAGAGGAUAGUGAAUUGGGUUACUCAAACUUCACCCUAGCACUCACUUUUCAUUUACCUCACCCCCCCCCCAAAAAAUAAAUGCAAUUGUCCCUAAUGCAUAAGAAAAUUGAAAUACGAGAGUGGUUCCUGAAGCAAACCUGGGACGCAAAGCGCCAACGAUCAGCAAGCCAGGGUCUGAUUCCCCGGAACCCACUACCUCUGUAAUCUGGACACCCUCAGUAGUGUCUACAGCAUCGACAACACUAUCAGCGGUGCCUCCCGCUAUCUCCACAUUUCUGGAGCUAGAUGCCCUAGCAUCUAACUCUACUGCCCUCAUCUGACGUGCCUCCUUAUCAGCAAGCGAGGCUCUCCUCGCAGUCUCCAUCUCACGAUGAUCCUUCUCCCAUUCUUGAGCCUCAUCCUCCUCUCGACCCCUAUGCCUCUUGGCAUGCUCUCGAGGGGAGGUGGUGGAAUCUUAGAUGUGGCGAAUAAGGCUUCCAUCACUGUGUCUUCAGCAGGCUCUACAAAAGGGGCCGACUCAGGCACCCUAGACUUUAGGAUCAUAUCAAAGUUCGCUCGCAGACUCUCGACCGCAGCCUGAAGGGUCGACACAUCCACCUGAGGGGAUGACCGGGCAAGCACCCGCAACUCAAAAGCGUCAAGCGCUGAUGAACCUCACCGAUAUUCUGCUCUAUGUGCAGGACCAUUCUCUGCUCCAAGCGCUCUUCUGCCUCAGCAAUAGACCUCUGCAUCCAAGUCUGGAUGUGAUGCAGAAGUGUAGCCAUCUGUGCCUCUAAUUUCUAGACCCUAGCAAGAGGGACCAGAGCAGGGAAAGGGGUUGAGUAAAAGGAGCUCGGGGCAGUGCUACUACCCAGGAUAGACUCAACCGGGGUAGUGUUUCUGGAAGCCGCCUGCGUAGCCGUGCGGGCCUGUGCUACUGUAUUAACCAGAUUGUCACCAAGUGGAGGCAACUCUGGAUGGGGCCCUCUGUGUGGAGCCAACUCAUUGGCUUCAUCCAUAAUGAGGCUGAUAUCAAUAGUGCCCAGCGGGGUCUUGAGCUGAUCAACGUUCCAUAUAGGCACACGUGCGGACCUGCAUAGAGAAAAUAUCAUGCACGAUAAAGGGUUAGUAGUUGUGACCUUAAAAGCCCUCUCAUGCAUGACUGCCUGUAGAAGCCAAGCAAAAUCCACCUCAAACUCGGCUAUCAUUGCCGCCAUUAGUACUGCUCAAUCCCAUGUGACUAUAUUAUCAGCGGCUAUGUAGGAAAGGCAGUGGAGGACAAUCAACCACAAAAACUUUGCCGUGAAGGUUAGAUUAGCCUUCUUGAUGGCUCCGUUCGGCUCGGUCACCCAGUCAGCACCCUCUCCAUCAACGGACAACUGCAGGGUCAUCCACAUCUUGGUGGUCUAUAUCAAGGAUGGCUCACGCGGGAAUUGGCCAUCUUUGACAAUUUGCCACUGGUAGUCAAACUCGGCGGUGAGAGGGGUCCAGUUGGCAUCAACAUUCUCGCCGUAUGGAUACCGGCGGAUGGCAGGCAGAGAGAUAUCAAACUGAAUGCCAUGUAUUCGGACAUGCUCCAGUGGGGCCUAUUUGGUGGAAGAAGCUCGACUAUAAAUUUGUGAUCUGAGAGUAGCUACGUAGAGGCGUAGAAUUCUCGGACCAACUCUUCACUAUAACGUCCCAACAGAUGCGUUGUACACUCCAGUUGAUGUCUGGUGAAGAGAUUUUGGAUCUCUGGCAUCGUCGGUAGACUUCCCAUAAGGACUCACCGCUCCAAUGUAAGAGUUUGUGUCAUAAAUCCUUUGUCAUUCAGAACUUCGCAUCGAAAUAGACUUGAUACUUCCCGUCAACACACCACCGGUUGGGCUGGUUAGCAAUCGGGGUGAGAGCACAAUUCAGUGAACCGGGUGUGGAUUCCGAACUGUCAGCCUCAUCAGACGAGGAAGACGGUAAAGUGGUGGCUGGUGUAGGGACCUCAGCAGAUCCGGUGGUUUCCUCCGACCACGAAACUCCUAAGGAGCCAGACACUCCUUAUUCAUUAGUAGCUGACCCAGAAGGUGUGCCGGUCAUUGUGCGCUCCUCAUUAGACUGGGAGGCAGUGACUACGCCGGAUGCCACCUGUUAGGGUGUGGCUCUGGCAGCACGUGCAGCUCGGGAUGGGGUGGAAGUGCCUGGGGGUACGUACUCGGGGUCAUGCUCAUCAUCAGAGCCAAUGACAAGGCGGGUAGAUGGCGCGAUAGACUUCGAUCGCCCAUGUGCGUAGACUCGAUCUUUUUUUGGUGCCAUGAUUGAUAGUACCUAUAAAGAAUCAUUAUUAGUACUAGAAGGAGCGAACAAGACAAGCAAAACGACAUAAAAUAAAUAAAAGACUGAAGAUGUAAUAACAUUUCUAUAGUAACAGUGAAACAUGAUGGACCAGUUGACGGCUCGUCGUGAAUAUGACUAACCGUCAUGGGAUCCGUCAUGUCUUACUUAAACUAUGUUUAUGUGGAGAACCCUGAAGGAAAGUCUCUGACAAGUAUGACGGUAUACGAAGGACGGACCGUUGUUAUUACGAUAGUCCAUCUCGAUGUCCGUCGUGGGACACUUAGAAAAAAGUAUUGAGAGAAGGGUCUCUGACCGUCAUGACGGUUAUACAAGACUAACUGUUGAGGGUAUGACGAUCCAUCGUAGGUGUCCGUCAGAGGAUAAUUGGAAAAAGUAUGGAGCCCUUUAGGAGAGGGUUCUCUGACCGUCAUAACUGUUAUGCAGGACGGACCGUCGAUGGUAUGACAGUCCAUCGUAGAGGUCCGUUGGAGGACACCUAGGAAAAGUGAGAGACCCUUAGGAUCAAGGUCUCUGACAACCAGAACGGUUGUCCAGGACGGACCGUCGUGGGAACGACGGUCUGUCGAAUGUGUCCGUUGGUGGACACUUGGAAAAAAUUAAACACUAGGGUGUUAGGGAUGUUGGAACGGACCAAAUGAUGGUCCAUCAUGGGUACGAUGGUCCGUCAUCAUGGUCUCGUUCUGUCAUUCACUGACAGAAUUGGGGAUUCCUCAUUCAUCCCCAUAGACCCAAAUGAAAUUAUUAGUGUUUUAACCUACAUUUAUCUAACCCAACUACCUACUAAACUAGAAAUGCUAAAGCACCUAGUUCUAGAGUUUUAACACGGCAAUUUUGAGGAUUCUCAACCUAGGUCAGACAGAGUUUUAUUAAAGAAUGAACCCAUCAAGAAGAACUAGGCUAAUACUAAUUAAUAAACCAAAAUUCAAUGUAGAUGGGUAGAAAUCAGAGACACAUACCUGAGAAUUUGAGAAAAACAAGCGAGGAAGGUACUUGGUGAUCAAGUAAAGAAUCACAGUGGCAGACUCCGGCUAGUAGAUAGUGAAUUUUAGGAAUUGGGGAAUUUGGGAAAAUGAUCGGUUGUAAGAGAGGGGGGGUUAUGAACUUCGAAGUUAAAAAGGAAGGGAAAUGGGAGGAAGAGGGAAGGAGGGGGGUGAAAUGAAGGGGGUGGGGUUUUUAAUGUUAAGAAUUUUUAAAAACCCCAGCCGGGUCGGGUCGGGUAUGCUUCAUUAAUGACGCGACGAGUCCCUGACAAUAGUCCCUUGCACCUGACACGGUCCGUCAUUGGUUCCGUCGCGUAUGCCCUAGUUUUGAAAAUAACAGAUGGACGUACCUGGCACGACGAAUUCAUGGGACGGUCCAUCGCGGUCUUGACGGGCCGUCGAUGUAUCCAUCAGUAAAUGUUGCAGAGUGAUUUUCUAUAGAAUUUCCAUGUGAUGUUCCUGCAAAUUUUAAACCCGUUAAUAGAAAACGCUACCAUUACUAAAAAAAUAAUAAGUAUUGGGUUGCCUCCCAACAAGCCCCUGAUUUAACGUCGCGGCACGACUGAGGACACUUGAUUACUCAUCCUUCAUCAAGAUGGUAUGCCUCUAUAACUUCAUUCACCGAUGUAGUAUGCCCAAAAUAGAGUUUUAUUCAUUCUCCACUCACCUUAAACCACACUCCCUCCUUUAUUUUUAACUCAACUGCCCCAUGAGGAAAUACUUGGGUAAUCAAGUAAGGGCCAGUCCGUUUGGACUUGAGCUUGCUCGGAAGCCAACGCAACCUUGAACUGUCUAGAAGCACUAAAUCCCCAACCAUAAACUCUCGUUUUUCAUUUUUAGGUCAUUAUCCUUCUUCAUUUUUUCUUUGUAGGAUAUACCAGAUAUCGAUUGGAGCUCACCACUCUGCCUUAUGGACCUACAAAUGUUGAAGGUCGCUUCUUCAUUUUUCAACCGAAAUUUCAUCUGCCCCUUUUCCAUAUCAACUAAGGCUCUACCCGUAGCAAGGAAUGGCCUCCCAAGAAUAAUAGGCACUUCAAAAUCAACUUCACAAUCAAGAAUAACAAAAUCUGCCGAAAAUAUGAAUGAGUCCACUUUUACUAGCACAUCGUAGAGUAUCCCUAUAGGCCUUUUCACUGUUCGAUCAGCCAUCAGUAGCUACAUUGCAGUGGGCUUUGGGUCACCCAACCCCUACUUAUUGUAAAUCGAGAGGGGCAUGACAUUUAUGCUUGCCCCCAGAUCACAUAAUGCUUUCACAAGACGUAAUGACCUGACUGUACAAGGAAUAUUGAAGGCACCCGGAUCUUCUUUCUUUUGUACGAGAGAUCUUGUAGCAAUAGCACUACAAUGAUGCAUUCUAUCAUCAUCCUCAAAAGUGACCAAUCUUUUCUUUGUAACCAAAUCUUUCAUAAACUUGGCAUAACCAGGCAUUUGUUCUAGAGCUUCUACCAAAGGGACAUUGAUAGAAAGCUGCUUCAGCAUUGUUAUAAAACACUGAUAUUUACCAUCCUCGGUCUUUUUCACUUAUAUCUACGAAAAGGGGAGUGGUGGUCUAGGCAUGGGAAUUACCUUUAUAGGGACUUCUGCAUCUUGUCCAGUGCUAUCUUCUGUUUUACCACUACCCUCUACCACCUUAUCAUUACCCUUUCUCACCUUUUCCUUAUUAGACGGCAUAGGUGGAUCAAUGGUUUGCUUACCACCCGAGUAGUGAUUGCCAUAUAGUGUGCAUCAUUUUUAAGAUUUUGGACAGUGUUGCUAGGAAGAGUGCCCGGUUUCCGUGUGUUCAUAGUUUUAGAUAUUUGGGCCAUUUGUAACUCGAUCUGCUUAAUCGAUAUUGCAUGUGUAUCGAAUUUUUGCCCAGUACUUGCUAAAUCACUCCUUAACUCUUUAAUGUGCUUAUCACUAGCAUCGAACCUCCUCAUCAUUUUGUGCAAAAUAUCCUCAACUCGCACGAUACUACUUCCACCAUCCCUAGGAGUAACUUCACGAUUUUGAAGAGGGACAUAGGGCCCAUUCCUAUCAUUCUGUUACCAUAGUUACCCUUGUUGAAGUUGUUGUCGCGGUUGUAGUUUCCAUCUCGGAUAUAAUGACCCUCACGGUUAUAGUUACCAUAGAUCUGUCCUUGGUUCCCUUGACCUUGGAGCCAAUUAUCCUGAUUUGAGCCUUGGGCACUCGGUUGGAAACCCCUGUCUGCUCAUUUACGUCAUAGGAAUCCUCCGCAUAAUAGCAUUCAUCAUUAGGUGGUGGUGGUUUAGACAAGUAGUUAACUGCAUUUAUCUUUUCUACACCCCCAGUGAUAUUCUUUAAUACCAAUCCAAGCUCAGUUCUCAUCUGUGCCAUCUCUUCACAGAUCUCAUCUGUGGCUAGGUUGUGAGUGGAUUGCACUACGAAGGUGUUUCUCCCAGUAUCUGACUUCCUAGUACUCCAAGCUUUAUUGUUUUGGGAGAUUUUCUCUAACUUUGUAGCAAUCUCCGCAUAAGGACACUCCCCAUAAGAACCACUCGCUAUAGUAUCCAACACCACUUUAUUAUUAUCAUCUUGUUCCCUAUAGAAGUAUUCCUUCAGUAACUCAUCAUCUAUGCGGUGAUUGGGGACACUUUUCAAAAAUGAGGUGAAUCUAUCCCAAGAACUAAUAACUGACUCUCCUGGUAGUGCUACAAAGUUGUUCACUCUGUCUUUGUGGUUUAGCUUCUUGGAGACCGUGUAGUAGCGUGCAAAGAAAACGUCCCUUAGUUGGUUACAAGUGAAAAUUGAGUUGUAAGAGAGCUUAGUGAACCAAAUAGCAGCCUCUCCUGUCAGUGAGAGAGGAAACACUCUUAGCCCUAUUACAUCCAAGUCCAAGUUAGGCCUCCCUACACAACAUUUUAUCACUGCCCUUACCUUAGCUAUAUAGGCAUGUGGAUCCUAAGAAGGUAGCCCUGAAAACAAACCUCUGGUAAUGAGCAUUUGCAUCAGCCUACUAGUUACCACAAAGGUGUGGCCUGGUGCUAAAGGGGGAAAGACAAGCGGCCUAUCAGAUUUUGCUAUAUUGUCAUAGCCUCUGUAGUAUUCUUGGGGACGUGCAGCGGGAUUGUGUCCUCUAUGUUGGUUUUCACCCAGAGAAUCGAGUGACAACUGACCAUGAACAUCAAUCAAAGCUGGGAAGUUCUGGUUUGGAUCAUCAUCAUUAAUUCCUAAGUUUUGAUUAAUGUUGCAUAGUGUACGCUCUAAUUCGUGAUCAUAGGGAAACAAGGGGUUUUUCCUCCUUGUGUAUUUGGCAUACAAGGAAGAUGGUUCUGCAAGAAUCAAAAACAAUAAAAUAAAGUAAAAUCAAGAAAAUAUCAACUAAACUAUAGUAAUAAGUUUAAGUUAAUCCAAAAGCUACUUUCCCCGACAGUGGCGCCAAAAUUUGAUACGCUCAAACUUACUUCUCAAAUAAGAAGUAAAGCGAUCGUAUCAUGUAAAUAACUCAACUAAUGAGGUUGGGAUCGUUUUCACAUGGAAAAUAAUUUAGACUUAACUUCAAUCUAUUAUCACUAUUGUUCAGUCAAUUAUUUCCUUGGAAAACAAAGACAAUAAAAGGGGGGUUUUUUACUUCUAAAUGAAUGAACAUAACUAGCUAAAUUGAAGGAGACAACUAAUAGCUUCAAAUGUUGAAGUUUAAUCAAUUAAUCAAAGUAACUAGGGUUUACGUGUUCCCCACAGGUUCGUAACUUGAUAAUUCUAACUAUAACAAUUCUUUCCUAGUAUCUUGCAUGCAAAGUGAUAAGUUAUGUAUUUCUAAAUCCUUGGUCCGGCAUCUAGAAAAUUUCACUCUGCACCUUGGUCAGGCUACGUGUGUUGCUAUACUAACCCUUACAUUUACCUCAUAUUAAGCAUCAUAUUCGAUGUUUGACUAAGUUAUUAGAUCGUACCAAUCAAUACUAGCCUAUUAGAUAGUAUACACUAAAUCUAUGUUGAUAAUUCUUUUCCUAUUAUCUACCUCCUUGGUCCGGCAAGUAGCAUUAAGGUGAGUUCUAACGUUGACCAUCCGUUAAAAAGACUUCUAAGCGAAAGAAUUAUCAAUACAUGCAAGACACUAUUCUAGAAUUUUUAUUUUAGUUAGGUUUUACCUCAUUAUUUGCCUAUGGUUCCCACAACCCUAGUUAUGGAGUUUAGUUACCCAUAGUCGUAAUCACAAUAUUCAAAUAUGUAAUUAUAAGAAUUCAUGCACUUACUCCAAUGAGAAAGAAUAAAAUCCAUAAGUUAACUUGAUUAAUCAACAAAAGUCACCGUAAAUCAAUUACUGAAAUUAAUUGAAGACUAAAGAUUCUCCAAAAGUGUAACAAUAAUCACCAAAUCUAAUCCAGAAAAGAAGCUCAAAUAAUUAAGAGUCUACCAAUAAUACAGAGUCUAACCCCAAAAAUGAGGCUUUUUGAACUAUUUAUAAAAAAUAAAAACCUAAUUAAAUAAGGACUCUAUUUGCUGGAAAUCUGUCAAAAUGCGGUUGGGUCGACGGACAUCACGACGGAUUAUCGUGGUCACAAUGGGUCGUCUUGGAUUCCGUCGUCCCAUGAUUAUGCAAUGUCUUCUGCUGCAUUCUUCAUUACCCUCGACGGCAGGUAUGACGGAUCGUCUCCGUUCCAAAACACUUAAACUCUUGGAAUUUGGGUACUGGGACUACUUCUUUGAUCUUCAUGACGAACUAGUAGGAUGGACCGUCAUGGCUACGACGGUCCGUCACGCACUCCGUAACCCCACACUUGGUCAAAAUUCCCCAUCUUCCUUCAGCAGCUGCACUAUGAUGCUAGCUACGGACUGUCAUGAGCACGAUAAACUAUCACAAGCUCUGUAGGUGGUACUUUUCUGUACUUCUUGCUCAAAAACCUCCGCAUUCAUCUAUUAGACAGAAUUCCUGCAAAUAAAGAGAAACAUACAUAAAAAUUAGUACAAAAAGGCUUUUGAACACACUAAACUUAAGGAAAAAGUAUUAAAAAUACCGUGAAACCACGGUAUAUCACUCACAUUUCUCAUCAUCCUCAACCUUUUCUAAGUUGUGAUUAUCCCCAUCUAUUUCAUCCUCAUAAUUGUCCACAACAUAUUCAUCAAAAUUAGGCACUCUGUUCAUCUUACAUAUUUGUUGUCUCUUAUUUGGUGGUUUAGAAGGAGGAGGAGUCAUAUGUUGAGCCUGAAGAUUAUCAUCAACCAUAACAACUUUGUUGCAUAAUACCUCUCUCUUUUCUUGUCCUCGUAUUUUAGGCUUAGGGUUUUGGGUUAAUGGUUUAGGGUUAGAGUUAGGAUUAAGGUUAGGGUUAGAGUUUGGGUUAGGGUUUAGGUUUUUUAGGUUGUAGGGUUUGUGGUUUAGAAUUUGAGGUUUAAAAUCAAUAGUUUAGUGUAUAAUGUUUAAGUUUUUGUAUUUUGGACUUUGUCUUUAUUUAAUACUUAAACUUUAGGGUUUAGGAUUUAGGUUUAGGGUGUCGGUUCUUUUAGGUUUUAUGGCUCACUAUUUAGCAUUUGAGGUUAAAAUCUAUGGUUUGGUAUUUAAAAUUUGGAUUUUUGAUAUUUUGGGCUUAGGGUUUCCGGUUUAUGGUUUAGAGUUAGGGUUAGGGUUAAGAAUAGGGUUAGAGUUUUGGUUUUUUUAUUUUUUGGUUUAGGUUUUAGGAUUUGAUGUUUAAUAUUAAUGAUUUAUUGUUUAAUGUUUGGGUUUUGGUAUUUUGGGCUUGGGGUUUAGGGUUUAUGGUACGGUUAGGGUAACGUUAAUGUUCGGGUUUAGGGGUAAGGGUUAGGGUUAGGAUGUAGGUUUUUUUUUAGGUUUUAUGGUUAAGGGUUUAGCAUUUGAGUUAUAAAAUCUAUGAUUUAGUAUUUAAUUUUUGGGUUUUGGUAUUUUGGGCUUAAGGUUUCGGGUUUAUGGUUUAGAGUUAGGGUAGGAUUAAGGAUAGGGUUAGGUUUUUGUUUUUUUAAAAAUUGUUUGGUUUUGGUUUUAGGAUUUGAUGUUUAAUAUCAAUCUUUUAUUGUUUAAUAUUUAGUUUUUGGUAUUUUAGUCUUGGAUUUUAGGGUUUAUGGUAUGGUUAGAGUUAGGGUAAUCUUAGGGUUAGGUUUAGGUUUUUUUUGGGUUAUAUAGUUUGGGGUUAAGGAUUUGAGUUCUAAUAUCUAUGGUUUAGUGUUUAAUGUUAGGGUUUUGGUAUUUUGGGAUUUGGGUUUAGGGUUUAGGGUUUAGGUUAAGGGUUAAGGAUAGGGUUACGUUUAGAGUUCGUGAUAGGGAUAUGUUUAGGGUUUUUUAAGUUUUAGGUUUUGGGGUUAAGGAUUUUUAGAUUAAAAUCUAUAGUUCAAUGUUUAAUGUUUGGGUUUUGAUAUUUUGGAAUUGGAGUUUUGAGUUAAUGUUUAGGGUUAGGUUAAUGUUAAGGUUAGGGUCAGGGUUUAUGUUUUUUUAGGUAUUAGGGUUUUUGGUGUAGGAUUUGAGGUUUAAAAUUUAUAAUUUAUUUUUUAAUGUUUGGGUUUUAUUAUUUUGGACUUAGGGUUUAGGGUGUAGGGUUUAGGGUUAGUAUUAGGGUUAGGGUUAGGGUUAGGGUUAGAAUUAGGAUGUUGAUUUUGCUAGGUUUUAUUGUUCAGGGUUUAUAAUAUGAGGUUUAAAAUUUAUGAUUUAGUAUUUAAAGCUUGAGUAUUUGUAUUUUGGGCUUAGGGUUGGGGUUUAUGGUUUAUGGUUAGAGUUAGGGUUAGGGUCAGGGUUUUUGUUUUUUUUAGGUUCUUCGGUUUAGGAUUUAAGGUUUAAUAUCAAUGGUUUAGUGUUUAAUGUUUGGGUUUUGGUAAUUUAGGUCUAGGGUUUUAGGUUUGUGGUAGGGUUAGAGGGUUAAUGUUGGGAUUAGGGUUAGGGUUUAGGUUGUGUUUUAGGUUAUAGUAUUUGGGGUUGAGGAUUUAAGUUGUAAUAUCUAUGGUUUUUAGUGUUUAAUAUUAGGGCUUUGGUAUUAUGGGCUUUGGAAUUAGGGUUUACGACUUAAGGUUAAGGCUAAGGAUUGGGUUAGGGUUAGGGUUCAUGUUAGGGAUAGGGUUAGGUUAGGGUUUAGGGUUUUUUAGGUUUUAGGUUUGGAGGUUUAGGAUUUUUUGUUUAAAAUGUAUGGUUGAGUUUUUAAUAUUUUGCUUGUUGUAUUUUGGGAUUGGGGUUUAACGUUAUUGGUUUAGGGUUAGGGUAAGUGUUAAGGUUAGGGCUACGGUUUGGGUUAGGGUUAGGGUUUAUUUUUUUAGGUUUUAGGUUUUGUAGUUUAGGAUUUGUGUUUUAAAAUCUAUUGUUUAUUGUUUAAUGUUUGGGUUUUCGUAUUUUGGACGUAGGAUUUAGGGUAUAGGGUUUAGGGUUAGGGUUAGGGUUAGGAUUUAAGGUUAUGGUGUAUGUUUUUGUAUUUUUGUUUUAUGGUUCAGGGUUUAGCAUUUGAGGUUUAAAAUCUAUGGCUUAGUAUUUAAUGUUUGGGUUUUGAUAUUUUGGGAUUUUUUUAAAAAUUGGAACGUGAUACGCUCAAACUUGCUUACCAAAUAAGAAAUAAAGCGGUCAUAUCAAGUAAAAUCCCAACUAAUGAGGUUGGAUUCGUUUCCACGAGGAAAAUAGUUCAGACUUAACUUUAAUCUAUUAUUACUAUUAUUUAGUCAAUUAUUUCCUUAGAAAACAAAAGACAAUAAGGGGGGGUUAUUUCUAAAUUAAUGAAAAUAACUAUCUAAAUUAAAGUAAACAACUAACAGAUUAAAAUCUUGGAGUUUAAUAAAUUAAUAAAGUAACUAGGGUUUAAGUGUUCCCCACAGGUUCCUAACUUGAUAAUUCUAACUAUAACAAUUCUUUCCUAGUAUCUUGCAUCCAAAGUGAUAAGUUAUAUAUUUCUAAAUCCUUGGUCCGGGAUCUAGAAAAUUUUACUCUGCACCUUGGUCGGGAUACGUGUGUUGCUAUACUAACCCUUACCUUUACCUCAUAUUAUGCACCGCAUUAGAUAUUUAACUAAGUUAUUACCUCGUACCAAUCAAUACUAGCCUAUUAGAAAGUAUAAACUAAAUCUAUGUUGAUAAUUCUUUUCCUAUUAUCUACCUCCUUGGUCCGGCAAGUAGUAUUAAGGCAAUUUCUAACAUUGGCCAUCUGUUAAAAAGACUUCUAAGUGAAAGAAUUAUAAAUACAUGCAAGACACUAUUCUAGAAUUGUUAUUUUAGUUAGAUUUUGCCUCAUCAUUAUUCACCCAUGGUUCCCACAACCCUAGUUAGGGAGUUUAGUUACCCAUAGUCAUAAUCACAAUAUUCAUAUAUGUAAUAUAAGAAUUCAUUCACUUACUUUAAUGAGAAAGAAUAAAAUCCAAAAGUUCACUUUAUUAAUCAACAAAAGCACCAAAAAUCAAUUCCAGAAAAAAGUGUAUUAAUUCUUGAAAUUAAUCGAGGACUAAAGAUUCUCAAAAAUUAUAACAAUCACAAAGUCAAAUAACAAUGACUCUACUAACAAAGAGUCUAACAUAAGAAAAUCUAACCCCCAAAAUGAUAUUUUUCCAACGACUUAUAAAAAACAAAAACCUAAUAAAAGAAGGACUCUAAUUGCUGAAAAUCCAUCAUCCUAUACUUUACAAAUCCUUCUGCUGUUUUCUUUAUUACCCUCGACGAACACGUAUGACAGACCGUUCUAAGCAUGAUGGUCUGUCGAGGGUCUCCGUUCCAUAACACUUAAACUUCUUGGAGUUUGGGUACUGGGACUAGUCUCUGAUCAUCACGACGAACCAGCAGGUCUAUGACAGUCCGUCAUGAACUUUGUAAUCCCACACUUAGGUCAGACUUCCCCAUCUUCCUUCAGCAGAUUCACUACGAUGCCACCUACGGAUCGUCACAAGCUUGACGGACCAUCACAAGCCCCAUAGGUGGUAACUUUUCUUCAUUUCUUGCUCAAAAACUUCCGUGUUUAUGUUUGGACAGAUUUCCUACAAAUAAUGAGAAACUUACAUAAAAAUCAAUGCAAAAAGGCUUUUGGACAAACACUAAACUUAAGGAAAAAGAAUUUAAAAUACCGUGAAGCCAUGAUAUAUCAACACCCUCAACUUAAAUUCUUUGUUUGUCCUCAAGCGACGCACUAUGACUCACUACAAAAUCUUUGUACAAUAGUAUCCAUGUUUUAGCUUUCGCAAUCAUUUGGCUAUCAAUCCCGAUCAGUCUCAUCAUGUUUAUGCAUGUUGUCACUAUUAGGCUUGAAUUAUGUGGAAUCAUACCAUGACACAGACUCACCAUGCACUGACACCUAUCUUCUUCAAUUUCUCACCGAGGUGCUAAAAUUUCCGGUAUUGCAACUAGUGUCCUCACUUCAAAACAACAUCCUCAUUUUUCACACAAUGAUUUCAGUUUAAGUAUAAGGAUUACUUUUCAACACUCACUCUCAGAAUAAAUUCACAACUCAUUCAUACAUAUUGCCAUAAGCUUGCCCUUAUUUUCACUGCUUUAAGUUCGCCAUACAAGUCCUAGGAUCACGAUAGGACUUUCUUAGCUUGAAAAAUAGGCUGAGGGUCAGGUAGGGUAUAUUUAGGUAUACUUUAGUGACUUUUCUCCCUCCUUGACAUAUCGACUAAACAUUCCACUUUUUAUCAUUUUAUUUCGCCCAAUUUCUCAUAUGCUUUCACCUUGAUAUUUUCCCUUCUUUCUUCAUUUGUGUAAGUGACUCUCUUCUUUUCUUGCUUGUAUUCAUUGUAUUUUAUUUUUUUAAUGUCACUUUUGUUUCAACUGGUUCUUGAGUCACUUUACUUUUGGGUCAGGGCCACGAAAAGGUGGUUUACUGCAUUAGCCACCCUCAACUUAUGCUUUUGGCAUAAGCUGAGGUGCACAUGUCCAACGAGGGACCAGGGCCAACACAUUAUUCCCAGAAUAAAUCAGCUGGGGUGAAAAAGAAAGGUCUAUUUUAAGCUCAAAUCAUUAGGAUCAAAGACGGAUUAAUUUCAUUCAUUUUUUUAUAUUUAUUUAGGCUAAAAAUUGGCUAUAUUUAACAAGGGCCUAUGAUCCUUUCCUAAUUAUUUACUACAGCUUACUUUUAGUAGGACUAACGAGGCAAGUUCUAGCUCAGUACAAAUAGUGGACUAUUCAAAUCUUCCUCACACUCACUUGACGUCUAAUUACUCUACCAGAUUAUCAGACACCUAGUUUGAAUUUUAAACUUAGGGCUAUGCAGUGGUGUAUCUCUAUGUCAUGCUUAGAGCCAUAAAUUCACGAAUUACUAUACCUAGUCAUGCAUCAUUUGCAUUACAUCAGGAUAUCAUUUUAGCCAUCAUGCUUCGGAGUUAAACUAUGUACACAAGAUAUAGACAUGCCGGUUCAAUAAUAAAAAAAUCAGUCUCUUGGGGGAAAAGAACACAUGCAAGAAAACCCCAAUAGAGGAUAGUGAAUUUGGCUACUCAGACUUCAGCCUAGCAUUCACUUUCCAUUUACCCCACCCCCAACAAAAAGAUAUGCAAUUGUCCCCAAUGCAUAAAAAAAUUGAAAUACGAGAGUGGUAGCUGAAGCAAACCUGAGGUGCAAAGCGUCAACGAUCAACAAGCUGGUGGGUCCGGUUCCCCUAAACCCACUACUUCUGUUGUCUCGACACCCUCAGUAGUGUCCGCAUCAGCAACAGCACUAUAAGCAGUGCCUCCCAUUAUCGCCCAUCUCUGGAGCUAGAUUCCCUAGUAGCUGACUCUACAACCUUGAUCCGACGUGCCCCCUUAUCAGUAAGCGAGGUUCUCCUCGCACCCUCUAUCUCACGGUGCUCCUUCUUCUGUGAUCCAGAUUCAUCCUCCUCUCGACCCUUGCGCCUCUUGACAUUCUCUCGAGGAGGAGGUGGUGGAAUCUCAGAAGUGGCGAAUGUGGCUGCCAUCACUUUGUCCUCCGCAGGCUCUACAGAAGGGGCCUCAGACUCAGGCACCCUAUCCUCUAGGAUCAUAUCAAUGUCUGCUCGCAGACUCUCGACCACAGCCUGAAGGGUCGACAGGUCCAUCUAAGGGAUUGGUCGGGCUAGCACCCGCAACUCAAAAGCAUCCAAGCGCUAAUAAACCUCAACGAUCUUUCGCUUUGUGUGCUGGACUAUUUUACGCUCCAAGCGCUCUUUUGUCCCAGCAAUAGACAUCUGCAUCCAAGGCUGGAUGUGAUGCAUAAGCUUAGCCAUCUGUGCCUCUAGUUUCUGGACCCUAGCAAGCGGGACUAGAGCGGGGAAAGGGGAUUAAUGAGAGGAUCUCAGGGCAGUGCUACUACUCAGGAUAUACUCGACUGAGGUAGUGUCAGUGGUUUCAAAAGUAGCCUACAUAGCCAUUCGAUCAUGUGCUACCGUAUCCGCCAGAUUUUCACCAAGUGGAGGCAACUCUGGAUGGGGACCUCUGCAUGGAGCCAAAUCAUUGGCCUCACCUCAUCCCUGAUGAGGCUAAUAUCAAUAGUGCCCAGCGGAGUCUUGAGCUGAUCGAUGUGCCAGCUGGGCACACCUGCGGACCUGCAUAUGGAAAAUAUCAUGCACAGCAAAGGGUAAGUAGUUGUGACCUUGAAAGCCCUCUCGUGCAUGACCGACUGUAGGAGCCAAGCGAAGUCUACCUCAAACCUGGCUAUCAACACCACCAUCAGAACAUCACCAUCCCAAGUGACUAUAUUAUUAGCGGUCGUGGGGGAAAGGUAAUGGCGGACAAUCAACAAUAAGAACUUAGCUGUGAAGGUCAAGUUAGCCUUCUUGAUGGCUCUCUUAGGCUUCAUUACCCAGUCGGCACCCUCUCCAUCAACGCACAAGUGCAGGGUCAUCUACAUCUUGGUGGUCUCUCUCAGCGAUGGCUCACGCAACAAUUUGCCAUCUUUUACAAUUUUCCACCAAUAGUCAAACUCGGCUGUGAAAGGGGUCCUGUUGGCAUCAACAUCCUCAUCGUAUAGAUACCGACAGAUGGAGGGCAGGGAGAUAUCGACCUAAAUGCCAUGUACUCGGACAUGCUCAAGUGGGGCCUGUUUUGUGGGGGCAGCCCGCCUAUCUAUCUUUGAUUUGAGAGUAGCCACGUAAGAGACAUAGAAAUCUCGAACAAACUCCUCACUAUAACGGCCUAAAGAAUGAGCUGUCCACUCCAGUCGGUGUCUGGUGAAGAGAUUGUGGAUCUCUAGCAUGGUGGGGAGACUUCCCGUACGGACCCGUCUCUCUAGUGUAAGGGUCUGUGUCAUGACGCCUUUAUUAUUUAGAAACUUGGCAUCGGAAUACACUUGAUAUUACCCGUUGACACACCAUCAGUUGUGAUGGUUGGCAACUGGGGUGAGAGACCAGUCGGUGAGUCGGGAGUGGAAUCAGGACUGUCAGCCUCAUUAGACGAGGCAGACUUUGCAGAUGCAGCGGGGGCAGGGAAUUCGACGGACCCAGAGGCUUCCUCUGACCACAAAACUCCUAAGGAUCCAGACGCUCCUUCUUCAUGUGUAGGUGACGUAAAAGGUGUGCCGGUCAGUGUGCGCUCCUCAUUAGACUGGGAGGCAGUGACUAUGCCGGACGCCACCUUUUUGGGCAUAGAUCUGGUAGCACGUGCAGCUCGUGAUAGAGUGGCAGUGCCUGGGGGCACGUACUCCGGGUCAUGCUCAUCAUCAGAUCCUAUAACCAGUCAGGCAAAUGGGGCGACAAACUUUGAAUGCCCAUGUGCAUAAACUCGAUCUUGUUUUGGUGCCAUUAGAGAUAGUACCAGUAAAGAAUCAAUAUUAGUACAACAAGGAGCAAACAAGACGAGCAAAAAUGACACAAAAUGAAUAUAAGAGCUAAGCUGUAAUAACUUUUUUGCAGUAAUAGUGAAACACGACGGACAAGGUGACGGCUCGCCGUGAGUACAACGGACAGUCAUGGGAUCCGUCAUGUCUUACUUCAACUAUGUAAUGUGGAGACCCCUGAAGGAAAGUCUCUGACAAGUAUGACGGCUAAGCAAGACAGAUCGUCAUGACAAUGACUGUCCGUUGUCGAUAUCCGUCGUGGGGUACUUAGAAAAAAGUAUGGAGACCCUUAGGAGAGGGGUCUCUGACUAUCACGACGGUUGUGCAGGACAGAUCGUCGAGGUUAUGAUGGUCUGUCGUAGACGUCCGUCAGAGGACACGUAGAAAAAGUGGGACACCCUUAGGACAAGUGUCUCUGACAACCAUGAAAGUUGUGCAGGACGGACCGUCGUGGAAAAUGAUGGUCCGUCGUAGUUGUCCGUCAAAGGUCACAUAUAAAAAGUAUGGAGACCCUUAGGAUAUGAGUCUCUGACCGUCAUGACAGUUGUGCAGGACGAAACGUCGAUGGUAUGACAGUCUGUCUAGAAGAUCGACCAAUGGGAAUCGAGACAUCACCAUUUGCGGGAGCACUAGAGAGAUCAAUAUGAUGUCUGCUUACUUAAGGAAGUUGUUUGAUCCACAGAAAGUGUUGGAGGCGGCUGAGCACAUCCCAUCCCACAAGAGUCAAGCCCUUCAACGGGUUAAACGUGCCAUAAAUGGGCUUUUAGUGGACUCAAAAAAAUCUUGAUAUAAUAGAUAUCCCGAUAAGAGGAGGAUUAAAUUUUUUUUAUCAUGAGCCCAUCACAGAGAUGCAAAGAGGAAGUGAACAAACGUCAGUAUCUUGAGCGACCGAUCAAGAAAUGCAAAGAUCAGGGGAAUGGUUAGUGAUGAAGUCAGAGGACAGAGAAAGUUCCUUCUCACUCUUUUGAAUCCCGGGGAUUGCCUCAGGGAAGAGGCCAGUCCCUGAAAAAGCCAUCUCGAUUGGUAUCAUUCAAAUGCGAAUAUAGGCCUGAUUGAAGCAUAAAAGUGAAAUGAUAAUAAUGAGAGGCUUUUUUCCGUUGAUGGUCAUCUUACUUGUCUCCUACGCUACUCUCUCAACUUGAUCAAUCGCUUUGUCCUGAUUUAUGGAAGAGGUGCCCUGUGGAACAUGUUUUAUGGAAUUGAACUCUUUAUUCCAUAUUUCUUUUCUUACUGAUUGAAUGAAACCUCUAACAAUAAAGAAGAGAUUUAAUCAGCCAGCGUAAUAACUUCAUCAAUAGUCUUUGUUACAGAUUCGGUCAAGAGGAAGAAACUUAGAAUAUCAUAGCCGCUCAUGCUUAUUUUGGCCGAUUUAUCUUCCAAUAUGCUAGUUUCAACAACUCUCGUUCGUACACAUCUUCUCUUUGUUUCCCGUGCCUCUAGUGAGUUAGAGACAGAGUUCAAAAAGGUCAAAACUUUUAUGAUUCCAUCAUCUAUGAUUGAGUUGCGAAAACUUCUGGAUAGGUAUCCUCCAUCUAAACCGAAUUCUUUCUUUUUAAAGAAUCCCUUUCUAGUAGCUCUGGAACAAUUAGGAGAUUCUAUACGGUGUUUUGCUUCUGGCGGCAACAUGCUUGGCCCCGCUUAUGGGGUAAAAUCAAUACGUUCUAAGAAGAAAGAUUGGAAUAUCAAUCUCAUCGAGAUCAUCAAUCUCAUACAAAAUCCCAUCAAUAAAAUCACUUUUUCGAGAAAAUACGAGACAUCUAAGUCAUACAAGUAAAGAGAUCUAUUCAUUUUUCAGAAAAAGAAAAAAUGGGGAUUGGAUUGAUGAUAAAAUAGAAUCUUGGGUCGCGAACAGUGAUUUGAUUGAGGAUGAAGAAAGAGAAUUCUUAGUUCAGUUCUCCACCUUAACGUCAGAAAAUAGGAUUGAUCAAAUUCUAUUGAGUCUGAAUCAUAGUAAUCAUUUAUCAAAGAAUGACUCUGGCUAUCAAAUGAUUGAACAAUUGGGAGCAAUUUACUUAUGAUACUUAGUUGACUUUCAUAAAAAGCAUCUAAUGAAUUCUGAGUUCAAUCCAUCAUGUUUAGCAGAAAGAUGUAUAUUCCUUGCUCAUUAUCAGACAAUCAUUUAUUCACAAUUAUCGUGUGGGGAAAAUCAUUUUCAUGGAAAACCCUUUUCUCUUCGCUUUGCUUUUUCAAGCUAUGAAUGUAGAGAUCAGGUUGAAGAUUGAAAGGGACGAAGUGGUAUGAAGUUUCUUGAACCUAGCGCUCUGGAGGUUGUGCUCGACCGAAAGGGUAAGGGCAAGAAUACUUGGCUGGACGUAGUUCAGGAUCGAUGUAAUUGAGACAACUAAGUAGAGGAUGGGAUGAUGUGAGGCCGGCCAAAGGUGGUUCUAUAUAGCUCUUACGCUUUUACUGCUCGUACUAUUUUAUUUGAAAGUGAAAUCCUUUUUUUUGGCAUCAUCCGGGAGUAUCAGUCCCGGUUAGAAAGUCUUCCAACUUUCCAAUUAGGAUUUUCCGAGCACACAAAUUUUUUUCAUUUGAAUAAUAAGGAUAAUUUGGUUGUUUGAUUAAUUCUAAGGAUGUCGAAUGGAGCACUAACAAGGGUUGUGUUUGAAGAUCUAUUGUGUUGUAGCUGUUAAAGGCUACUUCACUAUUGGUCAAGAACUAAUAUCUUGUUAUAAUCUCUAGUUCUAUCCCGACAUAGGUUAUCCUUCCCAGAAGCUUCAGCUAAUGGAAAAGAUAAUCUUUAAAGGAAUAGAACCCCUUGUUGGAACUCAGGCACCCCCUCCCUCGUCCCCCGAGACCAAUUUGUUUGGUCCGACAGGGAGAGUGGAAAGCCUUAGUGGGAUCAUCGAAACACACAAACGAAUUGCCCUUGCGGGAUGGGAUUAUGGGGUUGAUCCUUAUUUUGAGAUUUUUUAGUUUUCGUUCAAAGGGAAAAUACCUGUUUAUUAAUCAAUUUAUUUUGAUUCUUAUUUUAUUUAGUAUCUCUUUAUUUAUAAUUUUUUCUAAGGAACUAUUUGCUAUCCUUAGGGAUUUUGUGUUCUCAGCUUCUCUUUGGGAUUUUGGUUUUUAGUGUCGGGGGAUCACUUCCUCUUUAGGGCCCUUUCGGGCAAGCAAGCGGGGCUGAGUUUGAAGAGGAUCAUUUUGGUAUUGAUGUCCUCUUUGAAUCAUGGAAAAAAUCUACGGAAACGGGCACGUCGAUGGAUCAGCCAGAUCCAGAACAAGGACAUGUGCCGCCUACUAUUCAAGUAGCUCCUCGGAGGAACGAAUUUGGUCCAUCGAAUCAGCCCCCACGAGUGGUCCCCUAUCCGUAUCAACUGGAUGAAGUGAUAGGGGGGAUUCCGUUCAGUAUAACCAGCAGAGGCUCCUAGACAAAUACUUCUAUUCGAGGCGGGCCCUUGAGACCUGGCUGAAAUAGAGGAAAAAGACCUAUUCGAGGUCAAGGUCAAGAUUCUAAGGAUCAUGGAGGUCCUUGAUCCAACUGGGGAUUGGCUGGGACGGAGAGCUUGGGCCCUACAGAAUAUGUGUACCGCCACGAGAGAGCAUUCCUUGGAUGAACUCCAUACCCUUCUUUUGGAUCUCGAAUAAAGGGGAGUCAAUUCCGAGUCCUUCUCUCAAUUAAAAGGGAAGCUACCCCUGCGAAGGGGUUGGGAUGAACACUCUACCAUAUAGUGGAGUGGAUAGCUAGGACUACAAAAAUGGAGAUUGUGUCCAACAACAAUCCUAUAGAACGGGGGCAAGCAGUCUUUAAAAGUCUAAACUAAGAAAGGCUUACGAACCACUUAGGAAGGAUAAGAGCCGUAGCUACAAAGCAAAAGAAUUUGUCGGAGCCGAUGCAACGAUACUCACCUCAGCCUCUCUGGCAGCAUUAGUUACCAGAUUCAUUCAGUGAUAGCCUUAGGUUAAAGAAGUCCUUUAUUUUCAUUUAAGAAAUAGGCAGCCACUCUCUCUCUUACUUUCUUUCAUUUAGUUAGGCGUUGUAAAGGAUCUCGCUUGAAAGAGAAUCUUCACCUACUCAAUUGGAAUGACUCUUACCCUUACUUAUCUCUUUACUCAGAGAAUUCCCUCUCGUAGCUAUUCCCCGGCGCUGUGUCUUCUUUAUCCUUACUCUGGGAAUGAAGUCGUAAGCCGAACAGAAUACAUACUUGCUUGCUCUAUUUGAUUCAGGACCUCUUGUUGUUGUGUCUCUUUCGGAUUUGGUUGCUAAUAAAAGAAAAAUAUUGUUGGCCUGGCUAUUCUGAUUAAGAAUACGGAAGAGGCUAUGAAAUAGAAGAAAGAAGGUGAGUUUGAACUCUAACUCAAGAGCCCUUACUCAAGAGGGCUUCUCUUUAUCUUAUUGUAAGAAGUCAAAUGGUUAAGUCCAGUUGGGGCAACUGGGCCAGACGACAUUGAUAGCGGAGUUUCCGUGGUAAGGUACAAAGCUUUUUGUCCGGGUCUUGGGUAGACGUACUCAACUGGUACAAAUAGAAAGGCUCGUCCAGUGAGUGAUGACACUAGCGAGUAAACUGUAAAAGGGUCUUGCUUGGUAUAAUAUAAGCGGAUGACUUAGUUAUAAUUAGCUCAGAUGUGACUUCUUUGCUCGGUUUCGGUUGCUUGACUCAAUAAUGGCCCUUCAAAGUCAUUGACUCAUAUUUAGGGAACGGUUGAACUCCUUUUUUUCUUUUUCAAGUUGUUGACAAUCAUGUUCUUAUAUUUCUUUACUUUUCCGUACUAAAUUCCUUUGUUCACCAAUAAACUGAAGAACCAAUUAGUUGUAGCAGCACUUGCGACUGAAAAAGUAGCCCCGAAAAACAUUAAAAAGAAGAUGUCUAGGGCUGGUUCCUGAAAGGGAUCGAAGAGAAUGUAGCUUCAAGAAUUAGGCAAGGCCAGCCCUAAGUCUAAGUUGAAGUUACAGGGCUGGGAGGUAUGAGUUGAUUGGAUGCAGGGAAGCCCGGGCAAUCCUUUCCUAUCAAUCAUUUGUCAGGAACAAGAAAGGGUACUUUGACAAGAAAGGCUAUGUCCUACCGAUUCUCCGAAGAACAUACCAACACUAGUGCCAAAAAAAAGAAGGGGGGGGAAUAGGGAAAGUACCCCAUGAGAAAAGCCAGCAAUUUUUUAGGAGUCAGAUAGGGUUGGAACUCUAUACAAGGGGCUGCUUGCUGCUCGCCCCUAUCUCUAAAGUGGCUUAUGCAAUCCACUUGUUACCACUAAACAACGAAGCCAGGAGCGAAAGGAGGAACUUGAACCCUCAACCAUAGCCUUGGCAAGGCUAUGCUCUACCAUUAACCUGUUUCCGCUAGCUAGGGUAGUGGCGAAGCACUACUGAGCAAUUCACGUAUUAAUUGAUACGGACGACUUCUAUAUUUCCGCCGGACCACAAUCUUGACCUCCGGCUACGAACACGAGUAGAUAGGCGGUUAGGGGGGAGAGGGUCGGCUGGGCCUGCCUUUUCAAUCAAUCUUUGGCCACUUAGUGCCGCGAUUGGUGCGAGUUGUAAGGAGUCUUUGUCUCGAGUAAAGCUGGGGCAUCAAUUCAUUCUUGUAACGGGAAUGAGUGCACCGCAAGGCAAGACAGGUUGCUUCCUCGCCUCGCAGCGGCGACAUUUGUCUUUUAAUUGAAGUCAUUUCCUAAGACAGCUUCUCUUAUUCUACGAUAAUCCAAGCUGCAGCAGCACCUCAUGAACUUCUUACUAGGGCAGUACUUUAAUAGGCAUCUGCGAGUGUUUGGAUGCACGUGUUUUAGUCAUAUUCCUGCGUAGUUAAGAGAAAAAUUGCCCCAAGGCAACCACUUGUGUCUUUAUUGAAUAUGCUCGGUCCGGGUAUAUAUAUGCUAUGACGUAAAAUCCAAGAGAGUCGAUGUAUCCUUAUUGCUCUCUUUAAUAGGGUCGGCUCAUAUUUUCCUUAACCUAAUUAAUCUGCCCUGGGGGUGAAUGAUGAUGUAUCUGUAUUGCGGCCUUCUGCUGUUCAUCAACUCGAACAUCAUUCUUCUGUAGUUGAUGUUACAGAUUAGCCGCACUCUUCAGGCCAGCAGCUUUGCUCAGCAUUUUCUGCCGACUGUCAGCCUGUUCAGCUGACCUCAGAGGGUUCCUGUCACCUAGCACAACAUGUUUAUUAUCGGCGGCGAUUACAGCCUCUCUCUCAGGAUGAGGCUACUCCAGAAGAUCAGCAGGAAGCCUGAAAUCAUUCUUGCUGGAGAGAUGCAAUAUAGGAAGAAAUCAAUGACCAGGAAAAAAAUAAUAAGACUUAGUGGCCUGCAUGGAAAGAAGCCAUUUUCUGCAAGUGGAUUUACAAGAUCAAGCAUAGGGCAGAUGGUUCUAUAGAUAGAUACAGGUCUAGAUUAGUAGCUAAAGGAUUCCUUCAAGAAUAUUGAGUCGAACCCCUUUCCUUACAGUCAAGUGGCCCAAGGGCCCCUUUUAGAGAUAAGGAAACAUUUGCUUCAGGUUGCUAAACACCAUUCGUGGCAAUCUUGCCUUGGCUACAAUCAAAUUGUGGCCUUUUUUCAAUUUGACGUGCAUAAUAGAAUGCCUUUCAACAACAUAGGGAAGGGGGAAAGAAUAAGUUUCUAUUCAGCCUCCUCCAACUCCAGGCUUCCCUUCUCCUAGGAAUCCUAACUUGGUAUGCAAGCUCAAGAAAGUGAUUUAUGUUACGGCCUCCGACAAGUUAAAGUAGGCACAAGAGCUUGGUUUGGAAGGUGACAGCAACAUGUAUAAGAGCCGAAAAAAGGAGUAGGGAAGGAGCUGGUUUUCAAAUAAGUAAAUCGGAUCAUUCAAUGUUUAUAAGGAGGUCAACAUCAGAUAUUGUCGCUCUUCUGCUUGGAUGACAUUGCUUUCUCUAGUAAUGACUUAGCUUCAAUAAAUGAGCUUAAGAGAAGAUUAAGAACCCGGUUUGAUAUGAAAGAUUUAGGAGACUCAACAAAGUCUUUUCUGGAGAUUAAAGUGAUGAGGUCGCAAAGAGUUUUGGAACCCAGUGCAAGUAUUCAUUGGAUUUAUUGUCAAAAGCUGGUCUUUUUGCAUGCAAAUCGGAAUAAGAUAUAAAAUUAGCCUCAGAUGCAAGAGAGCUAUUGGAUGACCCAUCUACUUGCAAGGAGACUUGUUAGGACUCUUUUCUACCUGACCAACUAUCGCACAGAUAUUGCUUACACUUACAACAUAGGAGGGAGUGAUCAGUCGAUUUUAAUAUGGACAAGCCAAGAUUAUCUCACUUAGAAGCUGCUUUUCGGAUUUUGCGAUACAUCAAAACCUCACUGGGAAGAGGUUGAUUCUUGUCUACGUCAUCCUCUCUUCAGCUGUCUUGUUACUAUUAUAUUGCUUUCAUUAAGGCAGUAGAUUAUUCUGAUUGGUUUUGGAACAUCAUCCCCAUGCCUAAGAGGGAUGUACGUGUUUGCGUAUGCAUCUAUUUUUCUCAAUAAAGCAUGUUCCCAAAGAUGAUUUUAUGCUGCCGAACAUUGAUUUGCUUGUGGACAAGACUAUUGUUAAAGUAUACCUACUACUCUUUUCUGACGAUUCGAAAUUCUCGUCGUCGGCUUCCUCUCCCUGUAGGUCGAGAUGAAUUACAUCCACCCUUGAGGUAGAGUUUGUUUUGUAAUAGGAGCCUCGUUGGGCCUUUACGGAGCUUGGCCUGCUUUCGCAUUAACUCUCCAUUUGGUGAUUUGGUUCGUAGCAGCCCAAGUAUAUCCAGGAGUUCCUUUUACACGCUACGCUAUCCUCGGCGAUUAUAUCUUCAUCGGAGAUGAGCGGGUGGCUGAGUGUUAUCACGAGCUAAUUCCUCCACUGAAUAUUCCAUUUUCGUUAGAGAAAUCGUUAGUAUCGUCAGUUGUUGCUUUGGAGAUUUCUAAGCGGUUCUUCAUACGCGGAGUGACUGAGGACUUAUUUCCUGUCUCCUGUCACAUGUUAAGAUCCUUAGUUAGUUCCAUAUCCCUUGUUCCUGUAAUGAAGGCUAUUAUGUCUAAGAAUCUUCCAUUGUCGUAUCGUUUACGGGAAGAUGGUUACCGGGUGUAUACUCGACGCAUGGCGCCUCCUAGGAGACACUGGAAUCGGCAUUUUCUCGUCUUUCACUCAACGAACGGUGUGUGUCCUCUCCCCUUUUGCAUCUGGUUAAGUGCAACCACUGGUAAACACUUAACCUCUUAUAAACAAGGUAUGGUGAGGGGACCUGAUUAGGCUCUUUACCCCUCGAUUCCUGAGAAACUCAGUGAUCUCAAAGUUUUUCGAAGCCUAGUCAGAGUACGACUGGUUAGGGGCAUAGGUUUUAUCAAAAUGUUAGAAGUCCUUUCUCUCUUACUGGUCUUGGUAUUACACUAUUGCAGAUGAAAGUAAUGUAACUCGCGCAUUACACUACCAAUCCUUGGGAAAGGGGCCUCCUCUGUCCCUCUCCAUAGUUAUAAUCGAAUUGAUUUAAUGUAGGCGAAGGUUAUUGGUCUGAUUUAUUUCUUUCUAGGCAAAAACCAAUCAGAAUGAAUCUUUGGAAAGGGAUGUUGUGGAUACUCAGUAAGCUUUCCAUGAGGUAGUGAUGCCAAAAGUUCCUCGAUGAGGUUAUCUAAAGAAGGUACUUCUUAUUAUCACUGAGAGUCUAACCAAGGAACUAUGUAUUGGAGCUAACCUAUUAUCCAAGACUGUUAUUAGGAUAGUACGGAAUCCAGGGUGGUGGACUGCACUACGCUUUAUAUCUAAAGCAGUGCGCUUCUUCCCCUCAGAAAGGAUCGGUUAAGCUCUUCUUAUCUUUCCCAACUCGAAAUCCAGCCAAGCCACUAUUCAAAAAGACUUAGUUAAAGCAAGGAGGCACAGGAAGAAAAAUAAUACCAGUCAUUAGUUCCGGCUAUCGCUGGAACUAUUCAAAAAUUCUAUGUAGAAACCUAGGAUUCUACAUAGCCUUUAAGUUAAUAGUGGAAGAAAGGCUUGCCUAGAUUUUGUAUUCCAUCUGCAUUAGACGCUUUCUUUCUUUAUACUACGCAAGCAAGCCGGGGAGUGAGAAAAGCAGAAGUGGGACAGGAAUAAACCAAUAGCAAGAAAAAGGGUACCAAGCAUUUCGGGCAUUCCUCUUAUUAAAGGAAUCGGUGAGUGAAGACAAUAUUGGAUCUUUAAAAGCUGAAUUCUUUUUCUUUAUCAAGAGUGAGAGAUCUGUCUAAGAACAAUAGAAGAGGGAUAUACCAUUAAAUCGGAUCUUAGAGAAGUCUCGGUCUUUGUCCACACCUAGGACAUUGAUUCAAUGUGCCCCAAUGGAUCGUGACAAGUCCUUACUACUAGCACUAACUUUCUCUUUGAUUACUUUACUUCGCUUAGUUUCCUACUUUUGAUUGGAGCCGCCUCGAACUCCCCGACAGCCCUAAGAGGAAGGAGUUGUCCAUGGGAUGGACAACAAAGUGUAUCGAUCCUCCCCAUCCUCUUCUCUUGAGCCUAUUUUUCCUAAAAGUCUUGAUUGGUAUCGUCUUAUUAAAGUGUUGAGGGUUACAACACACUCUAUCCUAGUCCAAUUACGCUCAAAAAAAUCUAUCUAUUGCUAUGUUUAGUCUUAUCAAAGUCUUAUUAACUCAACUUUCUUUCUGGAUUCUCCCGGUUUUGAAUUCUAUCUUUCUGAUUUGGGUUUGCGGUUUCUAUAAUAUUCUAGAAAUCGUCUAUUACUAUUUCAUUAUUAUAAACCACUAUACUCCUUCCGCAUCUUUUCCUCGAAAUGAGAAAGAAGAUGGUAUACUUGAAUUGUAUUAUUUAAGUGCUUAUUUCUUGCCAAAAAUCCUAUUUCUACAAUUGGUAGGUCACCAGGUUAUUCAAAUAAGUCGUGUUUUCCGUGGUUUUUUCAUGUUACAACUUCUAUACCAAUUCAGUCGAUCCAGAAUGGAUCUGUUAAACAUUCCAUUAGGUAGCCUGGUCUUGGCUAUUCUAUGUGGUAUUCAUUCUCAUUCGGCUCUUGGAAUCACAUCCAGUAGUGGCUGGAACAGCUCGCAAAAUCCAACCCCUUCACCUACUUCAUUGCCUCUAACCGUUUCUCGUACCUCUAUUGAAAUAGAAUGGUUUCAUGUUCUUUCAUCAAUUGGUUAUUCCUCUCCAUUCAUAUCUCUUUUUCCAAUUUCGGUCUCGAUUAAUUCACAAUAUUGAAUGGCCAAUUCUCCUUCGAACCCUCGGUUCAUUCUAUGGCGCGAAAUCCAUCAUUGGAAAAAUAAUUAUUUGGUUAUGCCAUUUUGGGCUUUGCUCUAACCGAAGCUAUUGCAUCGUUUGCCCCAAUGAUGGCCUUUUUGAUCUCAUUCGUAUUCCAAGUUCUUUAGUAAUCAUUUACGGUGGGUGGAUAAGCAGGAAGGGAUCCCUGUGGUUAGACUAACUGGACGAGAAGGCUAGUGAGGUUCCUGCUAAGGUGAAGUGAAAGAUCUUUCACUAUAGUGGGAAAAAGACAGGUGGGAGCGAGCCGAGCAAGAGUAAAGAAAGUUCGUGGGCUAUAUUCGCAGCCCAUUCAUCGGCUUUUUCUAGGCAAGAGUCGCUUGAAUCGAAGUCAAGGUGAGGUUUGGAACCCACAAUUGGUCUAUCCCUUUUCUUUGAUAGGCGUAUAAAGUAGUUGUUGAGCUUGUUCUUACUGAGUUACUUACAGAGGGGUCGUCGAGAGAGAUUUGCAUGUGUUAGCUAGCCUUAUAUCUUUCUCAAUGUCCGUACAUCUAUCCAAUGCCUUCCUGCUUUCCAGCCUUUCACUUCCCGCUUGAGGAACAAUCUCUGGAUUUUCAGUAGCUUUGUUUUAUUUUAAGUCAUUUUUUACAGGACGAGCUUGAAGCCUGAAUUUAAUUCGAUUCUAUCCUGCUCGAUAAUUAAGGUAGUUUUUUCCUGCUCUGAAGAGAGACCUUGAGGGGGAACAACUUACCUAAGCAACUUGUGGUCUGAUUGCGCCAUCAGCGAAACCAUCUUUUUUUAUGUGCUAGACAAGAAAGAGAAAGGGGGAAAAGUAAGGCUUCAAGUAAAGGCUCCUAACUCAUUUAAACUUCCUGUCGGGGUAACUAAAAUGAAAUUCAUGACCGAGUUACGAGAGCUAUAACCUGGGUCUAUGCCCCUUUCACCCCCUAGCACCGAAACUACUUAAGUUGGUUGUCCCAACUCAAAAGCGAAAAUCAGAUUUGGAAUCGGAGGUAUUUCACGGGAUAGCCUUUCUGAGAAGCUCUUUUUAGUGAAAUCGGUCUGAUUUUGACCAAACUAUUCCCACCUAAACAUAAAGAGCUUAGAUAGUCUCACUGUGAAAUAUUCGCAUCCAAGUCGUUAUUCUUUAAUUAGAAGAGGCCUAGAGAGAUAGUUCUGUCACGUCUCUAUGUCGACCAAGGUUAUUUUUCUAAUAGAAAGCGUUCUCCUGCAGCCGUUGAAGUUUGUAUAUCAAAAACGGACGAUCUCUUCCUCAUAUUCAUAUGUGUGUUUGGUGAUUUGUGUCUUGGGUCGUCGAUUUCUCAAAGGAGACUUUGAAUGUGGGCUCUAGAGGUGCCUGUGUUACUAGGGUGUCUCCCAUGUGUUUCUCUUUAGUAAGAUUUCGCACGGACGACUUGAUUCCUUAUUUAGAUUCCAAACUGUUAUUAAGAGGUUGUAUGUUUCCUUUUCUUGAGGUUGUAAGGGGAGUCGUUCCCUUUUAUUUUGAACUUCGUGAGUAAGUAAGUCAUGGCGCACUCCUUCCCCACCGAGAGAUCAAAAUCUUCUUAGCCGUUUUGAACUCUGAGUGCUUUCCAAGGUUAGGGUUGGUGGGGCGUUACACCCGAAUUAAUGGAAUUCAUUUAAUGCGUAGACAGAUUGGGGUCGAAAUUGGUAUGGUACCUAGAAAUAUCAUAGGAGAAGAAAGCACGAACCAAUUGGUGAUCAAUAAUGGCCUCGAUCAUCUUCUCCAACGAUGGCGGAGUAACAAAUAUUUGAGCUCUGCCGGACUUCCCCCUUCCUUGUCUUCCACGUCUUCAAAAUAUGGUUUCAAUUGGCUAGCGUGUAGGACUGGAUGUAUCUUAAAGUGAUGGGACAUAUCAACUCGAUACGAGAUCUUACUAGCCUUGGCAAUAAUCUUGAAAGAACCCUCGUAGCGGCGAAUGAAAAUUUAACUGACACUUCGCACUGACUUGAAUUGCCUAGGAUUGCGUUUCACCAUUACUCGAUCCCCAAUUCGAUAGUCGAUUGGCUGCCGAUUCUGGUCAGCAAACUUCUUUAUUUUCUGGGCUACUUUAUCAAGAUAUGAUCGCUCAAGAUCAACUUUUACCUCCCAGGAUUCAGCCAAUUGAUAUGCACCCGGACUCUUCAAACCGGUAUCGACGGGAAAGGAUUGUGGCGUGUUGGGCUGCUGCCCAGUAGCCAACUCAAAUGGACUCUGCCCCGUAGCCUCAGUUCACUGUAAAUUAUAUGAGAAUUAGGCAGUGUCGAGUAACUUUGCCCAAUCCUUUUGAUUGGCACUAACAUAGUGCCUCAAAUAGCACUCCAAGAUUGCGUUGAUCCGCUCAGUUUGCCCAACCAUUUAAGGAUGAAAUAUGGUUGAGAAGUGAAAUUCCGAACCAAGCAAACUGAAUAACUCUCUCCAAAACGCACCAGUGAAUCGAGGAUCUUGAUCACUAAUAAUGUGCUUGGGUAUACCCCAAUACUUCACGACAUCUUGCAAGAGUAUACGUGCUGCCUCUUUGGAUUUGCAGCUGGCCGUCGCGGCAGUGAAGGUCGCGUAUUUGGGGAAGCGAUAAACAACAACCAUAAUAGUCCCGAACUCCUCCGAGUUUGGCAAGCAAGUGAUGAAAUCCAUGGUGAUGUUGUCCAAUGGUUUUUCAGCAAUAGGCAGUAGCUCAAGCAGUCCACGCGAUUCCUUCGUCUCAACCUUGUCUUGUUGACAAACAAGACAUGUACGCACAUACACCUCGAUGUCGUCUCGAAUUUGAGGCCAGUAAUAAGAAGACCCUAGCAAUCCCAAAAUCCUUUUCUGCCUGGGAUGGCCAGCCUAUGCAGUAUCGUGGCCCUCAUUGAUUAAUGUAUGCAGAAGGUUAUCCCACUUCGGGACGUACACAUAUCUUCCCGUAGUGUACAUCAGACCGUUCUCCUCCCAGAACUUCUUCAUCUUGCCUUUUUGGGGAAAAACAAGAAGCUGCUUUGCCACGGGAUCGUGCUGCAUGCCUUCCUUAAUAUCUUCAAUAAUACUGCUGCAAGUUGAACUAACAAUUGCAGCCAAGGCAGCCUUGCGACUCAGCGCAUCGGCUACAACAUUGGCCUUCCCGGGCUUGUAUUCAAAUGUGAAAUCAAAUGUAGCCAAGAAGUCUUGCCAACAUGCGUGCUUGGCAGUCAACUUAUUUUGCGACUGAAAAUAAGUUGUCAUGAUGUUAUCUUUCUUGACAACAAAGUGAGCAUCCAUUACGUAAUGACGCCAAGUCCUUAGGCAGUAGACUACGACCGUCAUUUCCCUCUCGUGAGCAGAACAACGCCUCUCUUCAUCAUUUAGUUUCCUGCUCUCAAAUGCUAUCGGGUGGCCCUCUUGCAAAAGGACACCACCAAUAGAAAAAUCGGAAGUGUCAGUAUGAAUUUCAUAAGCCUUAAUAAAAUCGGGCAGUGCCAAGACCGGCUCCUCAGUAAUGGCUGCCUUAAGAUUUUCCAAGGCAUUUUGACAUGAAUCAGUCCACUUCAACUCAUGAUUAUUUUUUAACAAAUCAGUGAGUGGAGCAGCAAUAGCCUAAUAGAUAAGUAAGAAUUGCAAUAAUUGGCAAGGCCAAGGAAGGAUCGUAACUCUGAUACCUUCGUUGGAGCCUUCCAAUCUCGAAUUGCCUCCAUCUUAUCCCUGUCCAUCCUUAUUUCACCAUGAGUGAUACUGUGCCCAAGGAACUAGACACUGGGUUGUGCAAAGCUGCAUUUCUCCUGCUUCAUGCACAAAACAUUAUCACGCAUGACCUUGAACACUUUGCCCAAGUGCUCAAAAUACUCCUCCAUGCUACUGCUAUUGAUGACAAUAUCGUCCAAAUAAAUCACCACAAACUGAUCAAAAUAAGGGUGGAACAACUUAUUCAUAAACGUGUAAAAUGUUGCUGGAGCGUUUGUCAAACCAAAAGGCUGGACCAGCCACUCAAAAGUUCCUUACCAAGUGAUGCAAGUCACCUUUGGCUAAUCACCUUUGGCAAUCUAAACUUGAUAAUAACCCUUCCUCAAAUCUAUCUUGGUGAACACUUUGGCCUGCCCCAAAUGAUCAAACAACUCAACAAUUAAAGGAAUGGGAUAUUUGUUCUUUACCGUGACAUUGUUAAGGGCCCGAUAAUCAACGCACAAUCGUUGUGUCCUUUCCUUCUUCUUUUGGAACAAAAUAGGCGCUCCAAAUGGCACCUUCAAAUGCCUAAUAUGUCCCACAUCAAGAAGCUCCUUGAGUUGCUCUCUUAGUUCCUCCAACUCCGGGACCGCCAUGCGAUAAGGUGUCGUGGCAGGUGGCUUUGCCCUGGGAACCAACUAAAUUUGGUGAUCAACUUCCCUUCGAGGUGGAAAUUGUUAGGGAAGUUUUCCGUCAUCACGUCCCUGUUAUCAAAAAGGACCUUCUCAAUACAACAAGUCAAAGAUAUUGCCGCAGUUGAGCUUUUGACGCCUCCGACAAGGGUAGCAAGAAAGGUUGGCGCCCCCUCUUAAAGUCCUUCACAAUCAGCAUGGGUGGACAAGUGCAUACCACGCAAGAACCUCUUGCAUCGUUGAUGCGCAGUUGGUUAAUAAACGGUGAAAUGAACACGUUAAUCUCAUACCAAAAAUCCAGCCUCAUAAUGAUGUAAAAAACAUCCAUGGGCGCAAUAGUGAAAUUCGUUAACCCCUUCCAUCCUCCUAAAUCAAUGAGGACUUUAGGAGCGAAGCCAUGGACAAUAGUGGGGUGGGCGUUGACGGUUUUCAACAUCAUGUUGCUAGCAACAUAAUUCAAACCAAGGUCCUUAGACAGUUUAUUUGUUACAAAGUUAUGUGUUGCACCAGUAUCCACCAUAAUUCGAACACCUUUGCCAUUCAACUUGGCAUUGAUAAACAAUGACUCGUGCAGUCUCACACCAAACGGCUGGGCAUCUAAUGCGACAAGAGUCAUGUGAUUGAAAAGUCUGACAUAUACAUUCUUUCCCUUAUACGCUGCACCAAUCCGUCUACCUUGCUCUCGGGAUAUCUUUCUGGUUUGCAUUGCUGCCUUCUCUUGCUGCUUUUGAGCAGCAACCAUGUUAUUCAAUUUACCUAAUGACGGACGGUUACGUGCAAGAUGAAUAGUCUCACUACAAAUAUAACAACCCUCAUGAUGUGGAACACCUUUCUUGCGCUCUUUGUAAUUUUUGCAAAAAUUAGAAGGCUGGUUAGGAUUAUUACCUCUCCUAUUGCUGCCUCGGUUUGGAACAGGCUUGGAUUUGUUUCGGUUGUUAUCCACUUUGGGAGUAACAAUGUUUAUCCCAUUGUCCCUCCCCUUUGCUGAAUCUGCCCGAAAAUCAGAAAGCAAUUCAACCACUACGAUUGCUUCAUCAACGUCAUUGACUUGUCACCUUUGAAGUUCUUGUCUGGACCAAUUUUGGGGACCAUCCAAGAAGUAAAAUAACAAGUCCUAGAUGGUCAAACUCAGAAUUUGGAGAGUGAGUAUUGUUAACUCCUUCACUUAUUCACGAAUGGAAGAUGUCUGCUUCAAUUCUCUCAACCUCCGAUGAGGCUCAUGGUCUACGUUUUAAGGAUAGAAUUGUCCCUUUAAUUUUCCCUUGAACUUCCCCCAAUCAUCAUGGGGUAUACCCCUCUCUCCAUGUCCGCCGUUUUCCUCCACCACCACAACAUAGUGGUGUCCCUCAAAUACAUAGCCUCUGUCUGAAUCUUGGUAGCAUCGCUAUUCAUGUUCACAUGAUCGAAAUAAUUAUCCAUUUGCCACAAGAAAUUAUAAACGUCUUGGGCAGUCCUUUCACGACGAAACUCCUUAAAAAGUUUCAAUCUGUGUCUCACGGACAGUAACAUCAACUCCGACCGGAACUACUUUACUUCCACUUAUGGUUUAUAAUGCUAGUUGUGCUUAGAUGUAAAUGUUCUAGGUGAUACAACCACAUAGAAAUAAUGUACAUUACAAAAAGAAGAACACAUGACACCCUUUUCAUCCGAAAUUUUGUAUUCUAGUUUAAGUCUGUCAUACUCUUCAAUUAUUUCUAUGAACAUGUGGAUAUGCUCUUGCAAAUGAGUUUUCCUCUCAAUAGAGUGGACAUUACAUUGCAACAUGAAAGUAUGCAGGUUUGGUUAGAGUCAUAUCUCGCAAUAACUUUCAGUCAGCCUAGUUUUUUAGUGGCUCAACUUUGUUCGAAAGAUGUUAUAAGUUACUGUAUAAUUUCUGAAUUUGUCCCGUAUUUCCCUGCGGUUUUUAGUAUUAAUGCUAAAAUACUAUUAUUUGUAGUUUGGUUAGACUAAUAUUUUCUACUACUUACCUUUAUAGGCAUUUUCUAUUUUUAUUUAUUUGAUAACUAUAUUCCUAUUUUAUCAUAGGAAAACUUAAAAACGGUAUCCUUCUUAUCAUGGACCCCUGAGUUUGUUCCGUUUUUGAAGAAAAUAUUCACUUGAAAUUUAUGUCUUUACGGGAUUAAAACAUAUCCUGUCUAUGCUCUUGGAAGAAGUGCUAUCGGCUGAAUUAAGUGAUUAAGAUGUAAAAAACAUAAUUCAUCUAUUUUUUGCGUCAACUAGGAAGGCAACUUAGGAGAAGAUUGUUCCUGCUAGUGAUAAUAAAAAGAAAUAUUACACCAAAGCACAAAAGGUGAAGCUCUUUAGUUCUUGUUGUUGAUACUCUUUGAGACUAAAUGUUAUAUUUUAUUUUAAAACAUCAUCUUUUGCACCUGAUAACGGAUUCCAGGAAAGUACUUGUCAAAUAAUAAGUUGGUCAUGUUUCUGCAACCUGGUAGAUCUGUACUGUUUUAGUAGUGUGUUUGUGCUGCAAUUUUUCUUGAACUAUAUAUUUGUCUUAAAUCGGGUCAGCUAGUCACAUACAUCUAGAUUAUUGACUAGUAUUAUUUAGUGGAAGAGGUACCAUUUUUUGUAUAUUUUCAUGUAUCAUCUUUAAUUUUUUUCUAACAACUUUAAGACAUUUUAUUAUAGUUGGAGUUUGUUAACAGAUUGAGCAGUCAGAUUAUUCAUGCACCAUGGAACAUAGACGGUAAAUGUGUAUGUUAUAACCCAACAAGAAUGUCCAGGAUUUGUCUUCUUAUUAAUGUUAGCCUAGCCACAUUAUCUAGAGAAUUCCAAAUCCAAUCACCUUUGAACUGACUCAUUACCCUGUACAUGGCUCUAUAACAAACCGUUCUCCCUACAUAUAGACCCUACUGAUCCCGAAUCUCCCAAAGUUUAAUGUUAGGUUUAGAUACAAUCUUAUCUUAAAAUUUAUGUCCAAUGUACAGAAGUGCAUAACUUGUUCUUGUUCUUAGUUGGGCAGCGAGGAAACAGGGUGAUACUUCUUCACAAUAAAGUCACACGAAUUCCAUUAGUGUUUGCAUAUAUGUCCCAUUUGCCUAGUAUUUUUCUUUUACAUUUAACUUCCAAUUUGGUGCAUCUGAUUAGGCUUAAGUUCGAGUUGCACUUUGUUGUCUUUCACAGCUAAGGGUGAGUUUUCCUAUUUUACAAUUUUCUCCUCUAGUUUCAGGACCACCAUACACUAACUCCUCUUCCUUUCUUUGUUUAUCCAUAAGAAGCUGCCGAAAAACCAAUGAAAAUCAAUCAUCCAUUUUAAAACUCUUUAAACAAAAUCUAGAGAUUUUUGCUGUAAAGUUUGAACAAACUUUCCUCAUCUAUGUUGUCUGUUUCUUGGAGUUACCUCUGGAUCAACAAACAGUAGAAGAUUAAGGACAUUUUUUGUCGAAACUUUAUGUAUUAUAUUAAGUUUAUGCAGAUCAGAUCCACGUGUUCUUCAUUAAGAGGGGAAACUAACAUAGAUAUAGGGGUUAUUAGAUUUCAAUACUUGAAAAUGUUUACAUUUUCUUGUAAAUUUUUGAUGUAGGGAGAACAUGAAAAAGUUCAUUUUAGUAGAGUUCCUGCUUAUUUGCGGGGAUUUAUAGGGUCUUCUCAGAUAUGCCAAUGAUUUAGCUCUCAAGCCAAGGUAUUUACCCCAAAUGAGAAAAGGUUAUCCCUGAAAUGAGGCAAAACAGUGAGUGGGAUUUUCUAUAAAGGGUGGUUACCCCUCUCUGUUGCGCCACUGAUUUUCCUCUAUUAUAAAAAACCAACAUCCCUUGUUUAAGAAAAGCAAACACUUUGAAAACAAAAACGGAUUUAACAUGUAUACUUGUGAGAUCUAUGUGUUUAUUUUGUGUGUUCUUUUACGUUGUUGACUGUUAUGAAAUGUACAUAAAGAAAUUGUGGUGGUGAUUUUUCUAUUUCUGGGCUAAUCAAUUUGGGCAUUGAGAUUAUCCAAUACAUAUCUUGGUGUGACAACCCGAUAUGGCUUGUUAUUGUUGCUUCUGUCUCUUGCAUGCAAUUGGUGUGUGCAGCCAUGGCGUGAUGACUUCUGUUUUUCCUUAUCAUAGCAUACAUCUUAUCCUCAUUUUCUUAAAAAGAAAGAGAGUGAAAGAAUGUGUAUUUGUCCACCCAUAAUCUUCCUGCAUACUUAUCUCUUUUGUUUAGCAUGUUAAUGGUGAUUUGAGUCUGCUCCAGCCUCUCUUAGAUCAGUAUCUUAAACAUAUAUAUGCAAUAAAAGAAGUUGUUGUAUGUGCCCUUAAUAAAUUGAAGGUGACUGUGUUUUAUAGAUGCAUUAUUGUUAAAUGUGCAAUUCUUUUUGUUGCAGGAUGGUGAUGUUGAAUAUUCACUACUUGUAAACUUGAAAAGGUUGGAUGAUGAUCCUUAAUUGUCAAGGAAGAUUUUCAUUGAACUCUUGCAAAAACUGCCCCCAUGUUAAGCUUAGCUCUAGUGGAAAAAGUUGGCAGAUUAUGGUUUAGGUCACAUGUUCAAGCUCCACACCAUGCAAAGUGAAGCCCAUUAUUUAAGUGGAGAAGGGUAGAGAGGCGAGACCAUUAUCCACCGAGUUUAGAAGGCUAUGAUUGGUCCAAAUUGUAGGUCAUAGAAAUAUUUCUCUAUUAUAAAAAUAAAGUAUCUCGUAGAGACUUUUGAUAAUUUAAUAAGUAUUGCUGACAAGGUGGGUAUACUGUAUUUCGAAAAAUUCUUUUUUUAUGUAGUUUUACAAAUACUCAACAUCUUUGGCCUACUCUUUAGGUUAUUAGAUUUCUAUUUCUUAGCAUGUAUCGGCAAACUUGCAGGCUACAAUCUAUCUCAAACUCUGGAAGGAACAAUCUUCAUCUUCCUAUCUAAGUGCAAUGCAUUGUUUCAUCUACUUGAGUCCUUCUCAAAUACUAAAUCUCCGGAAGGUCUUCUUGCAAUUCAACUUGCAUGUGAGGUAAGCAUUAUUCAAAACUUCUAGGUUCACUUAUCUCCUAUUAGUGCCUUCUUUGAUCUCUUUUAGUCAAUUGAGUUUGUUAUUUUUCUUGAUCCAGGUUGUGUUAUUUUUCAGAACACUGGUGGCUUGUGAUUGUUCAUGAAAGCAACCCUUGCAUCGUCCACAGAUCUAGAAGAUUUGGUGUACUCAUCAGAUAUAUGGAACGGCAGCAACUUCCAAUCUUGAAAAACUGAUCAUGGAUGACCUUAUAUGCAUAUGAAGUUGAGAAAAUCCUUUGGACAUGAAGUGUCUGGUAUACCUCAAUGGAUCAGAUGGGAUAAACAUGAAUUUGGCAAUAAAAGGACAUAGAUUGGUUGAGGGUUGUCAUACGGGUAACACUUCUUAUUUCAUUUAAUAGAAAGAUCUAUUUGUCAUACUUCUUGUGAUUAAUCAAUUAGUGUGUUCUAACUUAUGAGAUCUAAACUUCUACUUUCAUGUAUCUUUUAAAAUGCAAGUUGUGCUUAGAUGUAAAUAUUCUAGGUGAUGCAACCACAGAGAAAUAAUCUUUUUUUCCACACUUCUUGUGAUUAAUCAAUUGUUUUCUUGGUCUCCCAAUCUUGAAAGUGCAUUCGUUUUCCAUCUUCUCUCCAUUAUUUGCAGUCCCAUGCCUUUGGGGUUUAAGUUUCAAUACUUGCAACAUCUGGACGUAAAUGAUCUUGUUCCAAGUGAACUGCCCUGCUGGUGAAAAGAGAAUUCAUUCAUGUUGGUAGCAUAUGAGUAUAUCUGUCUAGUUCAUUCAUGUUGAUAGCAUGUGACUAUAUCUGUAUACUUACUUAACACACCUUUUCCUCCUCCCCUUUAAAAUUUCACUAGAGAUUUGAGUGCCAAAAAGAUUAUUUAACUUUUAAAGUGAACAUUAGGCUUAAAAAAAUCUGAAUAGAUGUUGUGCAUGAACAUCCACCUUUAUUUCUAGCAAGUAUUAUGUAUUUCUUCGUGCUUGAGUGUUUUUCUCCUUUUCAUUUUUCUCUUGCAAAAAUGGGUUUUGUUAUUUAUUAUCUAUUUCACAAAUCGUAGAUGUUUAAUUAGACAGAUAAAAAAUUUACCUGACACCUUUAUAUGUAUUAAUAUAAUUUGGAUGACGUGCAUAAAUCGAGAAAUUUUUUAUCAGACACCUUCAUAUGUAUUGCUUCCUGGUCACUUGUUGACUUCCUAGUGCUCUCAAACAAUUAAGAGUGUACUUACUUCCUAUGUAUAAUCAAUCUUUUACUAAGUUGUAUUGGAUAAUCUAGUCUUUUAUGGUGUUUUCAUUUCUCUUCAUUCAUGAGCUUGUAAUUGAAUAUGCUAGUUCUGUAAUUAUAGUUUGUUGAGUUGAAUGGUAGUAGGUUUCCCCAUACUCUUCUGAAAAAAGAAAGAAAAAACAGAAUGGGAUCACUCUUUUUCCCAGGGAAAUAAGAUUUGAAGAGCUUUAACGAGCAUUCACACAUGAACUUCAGCAGGCAAGAAGGUAACUAGUGGACGCUGUCGUUUUUGAGUAUGCAAGAUUGUGGCAUAUAUUAUUUCUAAAGCUUGUAUACAGGGAAAGAGCUGGGCAUAAGCUUAUAACAAUGAAACUGUUUAUCAAUACUUUGGUUCUUCUACUAAAAUAAUUUUAUUUUGAGCCUAUUCAUCUUUGCUUAUAUUAGUCUUUUAUUUAAUGACUUGCUUCAUGUGUCUCUUUUAUUAUGGUGCACAUUUUUUAUUCCCCUUAUUGUAUUAGUGAUAAAUGAAUUGGCUUAUGAAGGUUCUUGUUGUGUCGGUAAAAGGACUGUGUGAGAAAACGAAGGAUAUUCUAGUUCAAGAGAGUAAUGUGCAGGUACGAUACAUUAUUUAGCUUUUUUUUAAUUAUUAACGAAACUAGAAUUAGAACUUGGAGGCAUGUAGUCCUAAUCUAUAUUUGUUUGUUAGAUUGCCAUUAGAGCCCUGUAUAUGGGGUGUGUAUUUUCAGAUUCUGGUUGAACCUUUCCUCCAUUUUUUUGGGACGAUGUGUUUUGAAGAAUACCUCAAGCCUCUAUUUUGCUUUAGUAAAUAAAAAUGCAGAAUUGAUUUUCUGUCUAGUAGUUCUAGAAGGAUGACAUAUAUUCUGAAAAUUCAUUUAUAAGUAUCUUGAAGUGUAUGGUUUGUGUAAUUGCACUUCACUUUUUGUUUGUUAAUUAGAUGACGAAAUGUAUGCCGCUUGAAAUUUACCUCUCAUAGAUUAUGCUGACUUGAAUUAACCAAAUAUUAGUGUAAUGUAAUCCCAACAAAAAUUUAAUUAAUAUCUCUGUUUAUUUUUAAGUUGAGGGGGUGGGGGGUUUCAAAUUCUUAAGUUCAAUUGAGAUUAUCCAAUACGUAUCUUGGUGUAAAGAACAGGUAUGGCUUGCUAUUGCUGCUUUUAUCUCUUGCAUGCAACCGGUGUUUGCAGCCAUGUCGUGAUUGACUUCUGUUUUUCCUUAUCAUUACAUACAUACAUCUUAAUUUUAUCCCCAUUUUCUUAAAAAGAAAGAGAGAGAAAGCAUGUGUAUCUCUCCAACCAAAAAUAGAAGGGGACUGUGUGUUUCUUUGAUACAAUUUUGUUAAAUGUGAAAUUUUUGUUGUUACUGGUGACGCUAAAUAUUCUCUCCUUGUAAGCUUGAAAAGGUUUGAUGAUGAUCUUCUAUUGCCAAAGAAAAUUUCUAUCGAAAGCUUGCAUAAACUGACCCCAAGUCUUAGCUCUAGUGGAAAAAGGUGGGGGAUUUUUGGCUUAGGUCACAUGUUCAGGCCCCACACCAUGCAAAGCGAAGCCUGGUAUUUAAGUGGACGAAGGGUAGAGUGUGACGGCCUAUGUUAUAUAUAUGCUAGUUCUAUUCAUGUGAUACUUGAAAUAGACUUAUAGUGUAGGGGAGGGAUCAUGUUUCUUAUAUGGUUAGUGUUGGUUUGAACUAGCCCAGAAGGUGAUGUAACGCCAUGCACGUUUCAACAUGUGUAUUGCAAGUUAACUCUGACUGAAAGUAUUUAAGUAGAUAUAGUAAGGUGUAAUUGAGAUUAAAAUUAAAAGUUAAUUGCUAAGUUGAAGAACAAGAGAUUAACAUUCAGACAUUGAAAUAAAAUAAUUGAGCUGCUUGCUUGGCUUAAAUUAAGCUAGCAGCUGCAUCACCUACUUAAGCUAUAAUAUAGUUAAAGCGAAAAGUUUGAUGGACAAGAUUUAGGCUUAUAUUAAACGGAUUUCACUUGAAGUCAAACCUAUCAAAUGAAAGUAAAAUUUGAAAGAAAUCUCAGCAGUGAAAUCUGCCAAGGCCCAAUGUGGAAAAGCCCAAGAGAAAGAAACUAGGUGCAUCACCAAGUUUGACAUUUUGAGCUGUUUGAUGUGCACAAACAGGUGCAUCACCUACUUGCCCAAUUAAUGGCUGAAAAUGAACCACCCAAAAAAAAGAGGUUCUAGAGGAUAUUUUUUUGUUCAAUAAAGCUCUAUACAUAUCCAAUAUGAGCAGAUAUUCUUCACCCAUUUUAACACAUAAAAAUAAAAUUUAUCUCCAACUCUCUCUCUCUUCUCUCAAGGAUGAAACCAGCAGCCUUAAAGUUUUCUAGGCUUCUUGAAGAAACCCUUAAAUUUGCAAACCAAGUGUGAAGGUAAGAUGAAGUUCUAAAAGAAUUGAAGUUAUAAGGAGAAGUUGCAGAAAUUGACAUUAAAACCAAAAAGGGGAGGUUGAAUCGUAAUAGUAUAUUAGUCCGAGGAUAAGGUAUGUAAGGCCAUUGAAUUCUAUAUUCCUUUGGGAUGAAAUCUAACACCUGCAAUUACUAUCAAUGAAGUGAAUCUCAUAAGUUUUAUUCCUAGAAAACGAAACAUAGUGGCAGCGUACUAUCUCCAAAUAGCUAACAAUAUUUUUCCCUCUCUGUAGUGCAUAGAACUAUUUCAUCAUCUCUUCAUUAUUUUAUACAUGUGCUGUUAUACCCCAUGUGCUGGUGUAGAAAUGGUAAUUGCAAAAGCGAGAUGCGAAUCCUUCUUUUUGUUAUUUGAAGUCAAUUGUGUCAUUAAUCUCUUAAAGUAAUGUGUUGAUGUUACAUAGCUCCUUAUGUCAUUGUUAUUUCCUUGAAGUAUCAUUUUCAUGUCUUCUAUUACUGGUCCGUACUUUAUGUCUCCAAAAUGAUUAUGACUAACAAAAUAACAUCUCAGAAGAGUUAUGAACUGAUAAACAGCAAUCUCAAGGAUUAAAGAAUCUAAGUGAAGAAAUAUAUAUAAUUACGGGUGGAAGCCCAAGGCGAAAUCCUAGCAUGGGUCGAUCCCAACUGGUACAUAAGGGUUGCAGCUCAGGGGAGAAAUCCCUAUUUGUAUAGAAAGGUGGCAGCUUAGGCGCGAAAGCCUAGCAUGGGUCGAUCCCAAGUUGUGUAAUUAUGAGGACCACAUCCGAGGUGUUAAUACGCCUAGCAUGGGUCAUCCUCUUGUACCACUGAAUCAGCUGGUCACUUGUAUCACAUGCCUUACAAACAUUAUAACAUACAGAAAAGUAGAGAAAAGAAUUGAACUUGCUUGAUCCCACAAUAGUAAGCAAAGGUGGUCUUCUCUCCUAAUUUAUGCACUCAUAUGUUGCUAUUUGAUUUCAUUUGAGCUUUCUUAUUACAUAUUCUAUUGCCUUACAUAUUAAGUACAUUUUUUUCAUACUGAUGUACCUCACGGGGGACGCUGCAUUUCAUGCUGCAGGCACAUGUACUUCAGCUACUAGACCUCCUCAGUAGGAGCACACGAAACUCUGCUAAUAUUGGGUGAGCUCCAACUUGAUUCGAAGCUUUAUUGAGUCUUUGUUAAAUUUAUUUUCGUAUUGUAUCAUAGUUUAGGGUAAAGCGGGGUCUGUCCGACCUAAUCUAGUCUUCUAUCUUUUAGAGUCUUUGUAGAUAUAUGUAUAUGGUUCAGUUGUGUCUUAAGUAGUUGUGGCCUCAACAGCAAAGUCUUGUAUACAACUUUUGCACCUACUUAUGUUGUUUUGUAUAGUUGCAUCCUAGGUGAACUUAUCACAAUUGUUAUAGUUAUAUGCACAGUAAGAACAGGUUGUAGGCUGGUUCUCUCGGGACUUUACGCAUCGAGUUCUUAUCUAUCUUAAUGGGUUUUGAGGCAUGACAUAGAGGGGGCGGUUCCAUUAUCCAUCGAGUUUUCAAGGCUAUGAUUUGUACAAAGGGAGGGUCAUAGACGGAUUUCUCGGUUAUCUAAAUGAUUUCUUGGUUUUAAAAAUAAAAGAUCUUGCAGAGACUUUCGAGAACUUUAGAUGUAUUGAUGACAAGGUGGGUAUACUGUAGUUUGAAAAAUUCUUUUUUUCUUUAGUUUUACCAAUACUCCACUUCUUUGGCUUACUGUUUAGGUUAUUGACUUUUUUCUUGUUAACAUGCAUCUACAAACUUACAGGCUACAGUCAAUUUUAAACUCUGGACCAGUCUUCGAACAAUCUUCAUCUUUCUUAUCUCCAAGAGCAGUGCAUCGUUUGAUCUACUUGAGUCCUUCUUGUCUACUAAAUCUCCAGAAGGUAUUCGUGCAAGUCAACUUGCAUGUAGGGUAAGCAUUAUUCAAAACUUCUAGGAUCAAUUAUCUCCUAUUAGCGCCUUCAAUAUUUGCUUAGUUAAUUGAGUUUGUGGUUUUCUUUGUCUAGGUUGUGUUAUUUUUUAGCAUAGUGGUGGUUUUUCAAAAAAGCAACCCUUGCAUUAUUAUGGAGCUAGAAGCUUUGGUGUACUCUUCAGAUAUAUGCAACGACAACAACUUCUAGUCUUGGGUAGCUGAUCAUGGAUGCCCUUAUACGCAUAUAGAAUUGAGAAAAUCCAUUCGACCUGAAGUGUCUGGUAUCACUCAAUAGGUCAGAUGGGAAAAACACUAACUACUUCCUAAGGCACUAGAUAUUAUUUUAGGCAGUGAAAUGAAAAUGCUUGGUGGAUGGCUAUAUUUUCAUUUAAUAGAAAGAUAUAUUUUCGUCACACUCCUUGUAAUUCAUCAAUUAGUUUGUUCCAUCUUACAAAAACUACUUUACUUCAACUUAUGUUUGAUAAGCUAGUUGUGCUUAGAUGUAAAUGUUCUAGGUGAUACAACCACAAAAAAAUAACGUACCUUACAAAAUGAGGACACAUGAAACCCUUUUCAUUAGAAAUUUUAUAUCCUAGAUUAUGUAUGUGAUAGUCUUCAAUUAUUUCUAUGAACAUGUGGAUAUGAUCUUGCAAAUGAGUUGUUUGCUCAAUAGAGUGGACAUUACAUUGCAACAUGAAAAUAGUAUGCAAUUUUUGUUAGAGUAGUAUCUCGCUACAACUUUCAGUGAUCCUAGUCUUUUAGUGGCUCAACUUUGUUCAAAAGAUGUUAUAAGUUAUUAUAUAAAAUCUGAAUUUGUCCCGUAUUUCCCGAUGGUUUUUAGUAUUAAUGUUAUAAUAAAAUUAUCUGUAGAUUGGUAAGACUAUUAUUUUCUACUACUUUCCCUUAUAGGCAUUUUCUAUUUUUAUUUAUUUGACAGCUAUAUUCCUAUUUUAUCAUAGGAAAACAUAAGAAAUCUCUCCUUCUUAUCAAUGAGUUUGUUCCGUGUUUAAAGAAAAUAUUCACUUGAAAUUUAUGUAUUUACAGGACUGAAACGUAUAUUAACUAUGCUCUUGGAAAAAGAGCUAUUGCCUGAAUUUAGUGAUGAAGAUUCAAAAAAACUAAUUCGGCUACUUUUUGCGUCAACUGGGAAGGCAAUUUUGGAGAAGAUUUUUCCUGCUAGUGAUAAUAAAAAGAAAUAUCUCACCAAAUCACAAAAGGGGAGAUUCUUAAGUUCUUGUUGUUGAUACUCUCUGAGACUUACUAAAUGUUAUAUUCUAUCUUCAAACUUCAUAAUUUACUCCAGAUAAUGGAUUCCAAGAAGGUUCUGGUGAAACAAUAAGUUGGUGAUGAUUCUGCAACCUACUAGAUAGAUCUGUACUAUUUUAGUGGUGUGUUUGUGCUUCAAUUUUUCUUGAAAUUUCAUUCUUGUCUUAAGUCAGGUUAGUUUGUCAGAUACAUCCAAAUUAGUGAUUAGUAUUAUCUAGUGGAAGAGGUGCCAUUUUUGUAUAUUAUCAUGUUAUCAUAUUUAAUGUUUUUCUAACAACAUUAAGACGUUUUAUUAUGGUUGGAGUUCGAUAAUAGAUGUUGAUGUACCAUGGAACAUAGACGGUAAAUGUGUCUAUUAUAACCCAACAAGAACGUCUAGGAUUUGUCUUCUUAUAAAUGUCAUCCUAGUCACAUAAUCUAGAGAAUUUCAGAUUGCAAUCACCCUUGAACUGACUCAUUACCCUGCACUUGGUUCCCUAGCAAACAUUCCUCCCUAGAUACAAACCCUACUGAUUCCUUACCAAUUCCCAUAUCUCCCAAAGUUUUAUGUUAGGUUGAGAUACAAUCUUUUCUUGAAAUUUAUGUCCAAUGUACAAAAAAGUGCAUACUUGUUCUUGUUUUUAAUAGGGAAGCGAUGAAAUGGGUGAUACUUCUUCACAAUAAAGUCACCAGAAUUUCUGUAAGUGCUUGCAUAUAUCUCCCAUUUGCAUAGUAUUUUUCUUUUGCAUUUAGCUCUAAUUUUGUGCUUCUCAUUAGGCUUAAGUUUGAGGUGCACUUCGUUGUCUUUUUCACAGCUAAGAGUGAGUUUUCCUAUUUUACACUUUACUCCUCUGGUUUCACGACCACCAUACACUCACUCCUAUUCUUUUCUUUCUUUGUCCGUAAGAAACUAAGAGAAAACCAAAGAAAAUCAAACCUCCAUUUUAAUUUCAUUCAUCUUUUCCUCUGUAAAAAAAUCUAGUGUUUUUUGCAGUAAAGUUUGAACAAACAUUUCUCAUCUAUGUUGUAUGUUUCUUGGAGUUACUUCUUGAUCGACAAGCAGUAGAAGAGUGGGGACUUUUUUUAUCGAAACUUUAUCUGUUUUGGUUUUCAACUUUGUAUUAUAUUAAGUUUAGGCAGAUCAGAUCCACGUGUUCUUCAUUAUUUAGAUUGUUAGAAGAGGGGAAACUAACAUAGAUAUAUGUGUAUUAGAUUUCAAUACAUUGAAAUAUUUACAAUUUCUUGUCAAUUUUUUAUGUAGGGAUAACAUGAAAAAAAAUUCAUUUUAGUAGAGUUCCUGCUUAUUUUGGGGGAUUUCUAGUGUCUUCUAAGAUAAGCCAAUGAUUUUGCUUUCAAGCCAAGGAAUUUACCCCAAAUGAGAACACGUUACCCUUAAAUGAGGCAGAACAGUGAGUGGGAUUUUCUAUAAAGGGUGGUUGCCCCUAUCUAUUAUGCCACUGAUUUUCGUCCAUUACGAAAAACCGACAGCCCCUGUCUAUGAAAAAGCAAACACUGUAAAAAAAAAUUGGAUUUAGCAUGUAUACUGUGAGUCUGUUUGUUUCUUUUGUGUGUUUGUUUUAGUUUGUUUACUAUUGAUGAAAUGUUGACAAAGAAAUUGUGAUGAUGAUUUUUCUUUUUCUAUCUAAUCAAUUUGGGCAGUGAGAUUAUCCAAUACGUAUCUUGGUGUUAUGACCUGGAAUGGCUUGUUAUUCCUGCUUUUGUAUGUUGCAUGCAACCGGUGUUUGCAUCCAUGCCGUGAUUGACUUCUGUUUUCACUUAUCAUAGCAUACAUCUUAUCCCCAUUUUCUUAAACAUAAAGAGAGAGAAAGAAUUUGUAUCUCUCCACCCACAAUCUUCCAGCAUACUUGAACCUAAAUAUGCAAUAAAAGAAGUUGAAUUUCUCCUUAACAAAUUUUAGGUGACCGUGUGUUUUAUAGAUGCAUUUUUGUUAAAUGUGCAAUUUUUUUUGUUGCAGCAUGGUGAUGAUGAUUAUUCACUCCUUGUAAACUUGAAAAAGUUGGAUGAUGAUCCUCAAUUUUCAAGGAAAAUUUCCAUCGAAAAAUUAAAAAAACUGCCCCAUGGUAAGCUUAGGUCUAGUGGGAAAAGGUGGUAGAUUUGUGACUUAGGUCACAUAUUCAAGCCCCACACCAUGCAAAGCGAUGCCCGAUAUUUAAUUGGACAAGUGUAGAGGGGGCGGAAACAUAAUCCACCGAGUUUAGAAAGAUGUGAUUGGUCCAAGGGAAAGGUCAUAGACAUAUUUCUUUGUUAUAAAAAAAAAGAUAUCUUCUUUUGAGAACUUCAAAAGUAUUGAUGACAAGGUGGAUAUACUGUCAUUUAAUUUUUUUUCUGUAGUUUUACCAAUACUCAACUUCAAUGUCUUACUAUUUAAGUUAUUGGAUUUCUGUUUCUUAACAUGCAUCUGCAAACUUGCAGGCUACAUUCAGAACAAUCCUGGAACAAUCUUCUUCUUCCUUAUCUCCAAGAGAAGUGCAUCGUUUGAUCUAUUGGUGUUCUUCGUGACUAUUAAAUUUUUGGAAGGUCUUCUUUCAAGUCAACUUGAAUGUAGGGUAUGCAUUAUUCCAAACUUCUAGGAUCACUUAUCUCCUGUUAUUGCCUUCUAUGUUCUCUUUUAGUUAAUUGACUUUGUGUUUUUCUUGGUCUAGGUUGUGUAAUUUUUUUCAGAACAGAGGUGGCAGUUGGCUGUUCAAAUAAGCUACCCUUGCAUCAUCGACCGAAGUAGAAACUUUUGUGUACUCAUCAGAUAAUGCAAUGACAGCAGCUUCCAAUCUUGGGAAACUGAUCAUGGAUGCCCUUAUAUGCAUAUAGAAUUGAGAAAAUUCUUUAAAUCUGAAGUGUCUGGUAUCCUCAAUAGAUCAUAUGGGAUAAACAUGAACUAAGCAGUAAAAGCACAGCGCUUGGUGGAUGGCUAUCAUACGGGUAACACUUCUUAUUUCAUUUAAGAGAAAUAUCUAUUUUUGUCACACUUCUUGAGAUUAAUCAAUUAGUGUGUUCCAACUUAUAAUAACUACUCUGCUACUUCCACUUAUCUUUUAAAAUGCUAGUUGUGCUUAUAUGCAAAUGUUCUAGGUGAUACAACCACAGGAAAAAACGUACCAUAGAAAAUGACGAACACUUGGCACACUUUUCAUCCUAAAUUCGAUAUCCUAGUUUAAGUCUGUCAUAGUCUUCAAUUAUUUCUAUGAACUUGAGGAUAUGUAUGUCUAUGUUUGUGUGUGUAUGUGUUAGUUUCCUUUCUCCUAACCAUCUAAAGAAUGAAGAACACAUGGAUCUAUUCGUUGUGCUUUUGUUUAGCCUUUUAAUGUCAAUUUUAGUUUGCUCCAGCCUCUCCUAGAUCAGCCUCUUAAAUUUAAAUAUGCAAUAAAAGAAUUAAUUGUAUGUUCCCUUAAAAAUUUGAAGGUGAUUGUAUUUUAUAGAUGUAUUUUUGUUAAAUGUGAAAUUGUUGUUGUUGCAGGAUGGUUAUGAUGAAUAUUCACAUAAUGUAAACUUGAAAAGAUUGGAUGAUGGUAAUUGUCAAGGAAAAUUUCUAUCGAAAGUUUGCAAAAACUGCCCCUAUGAUAAGCUGAGCUCUAGUGGAAAAAGGUGGUGGAUUUGUGGCUUACGUCACAUCUUCAAGCCCCACACCAUGCAAAGCGAAGCCCGGUAUAUAAGUGGAGAAGGGUAGAGGGGCGGGGACAUUAUCCACGGAGUUUAGAAGGCUCUGAUAGGUACAACAGGCAGGUCAUAUGCAUAUUUUUCUGUUAUAAAAAAAAUAUUGUGGAGAAUUUCAGAAUUAUUGAUGACAAGGUGGGUAUACUUUGGUUUGAAAAUUUUUUUCUGUAGUUUUACCAAUACUCCACUUCUUUUGCUUACUAUUUAGGUUAUUGGAUUUCUGUUUCUUAGCAUGCAUCUGCAAAAUUGCAGGGUACAGUCUAUCUUAAACUCUAGAACUGUCCAGGAACAAUUUUCAUCUUCCUUAUCUCCAAGAGCAAUGCAUUGUUGAUCUACUUGAGUGCUUCCUGACUACUAACUUUCCGGAAGGUCUUCGUGCAAGUCAACUUGCAUGUAGGGUAAGCAUUACUAAAAUUUUCUAGGUUCACUUAUAUCUUGUUAGUGCCUUCUAUGUUCUCUUUUAGUUAAUUGAGUUAUUUGUUUUUCUUGGUCUAGGUUGUGUUAUUUUUUCAGAACAGUGGUGACUGGUGGCUGUUUAGGAAUGAAACUCUUGCAUCAUCUAAGGAUCCAGAAGCUUUGGUGUACUCAUCAGAUUUUAUACAACGGCAGCUGCGUCUAGUCUUGUGAAACUGAUCGGAAUCGGAGGUAUUUCACGGGAUAGCCUUUCUGACAAGCUCUUUUUAGUGAAAUCGGUCUGAUUUUGACCGAACUAUUCCCACCUAAACAUAAAGAGAUUAGAUAGUCUUGCUGUGAAAUGUUCGCAUCCAAGUCGCUAUUCCUUAAUGAGAAGAGGCGUAAAGAGAUAGUUCUGUCACGUCUCUAUUUCGACCAAGGUUAUUUGUCUAAUAGAAAGCGUUACUAAAAUUUUCUAGGUUCACUUAUCUCUUGUUAGUGCCUUCUAUGUCCUCUUUUAGUUAAUUGAGUUAUUUCUUUUUCUUGGUCUAGGUUGUGUUGUUUUUCAGAACAGUGGUGACUGGUGGCUGUUUAGGAAAGAAACUCUUGCAUCAUCUAAGGAUCCAGAAGCUUUGGUGUACUCAUCAGAUUUUAUGCAACGGCAGCUGCGUCUAGUCUUGGGAAACUGAUCAUGGAUGCCCUUAUAUGAAUAUGGAAUUGAGAAAAUCCUUUGGACCUGAAGUGUCUAGUAUCCCUCAAUGGAUUAGAUGGGACAAACAUUGAACUAGGCAGUGAAAGGACAGAGCUUGGUGGAUGGCUAUCAUAUGGGUAACACUUCUUAUUUCAUUCAACAGAAAGAUCUAUAUUUUGUCACACUUCUUGUGUAAUAUCAAUUCGUGUUCUCCUCCAUUAAAAAAAGCCAACAUUCCUUCUUUAUGAAAAAGCAAGAACUACAAAACAAAAAUGGAUUUAACUUUAUGUUUCUUCUGUGUGUUUGUUUUACGUUGUUGACUGUUGAUGAAUUUACACAAAGAAAAAGUGAUGAUGAUUUUUCUAUUUCUGGGCUAAUCAAUUUGGGCAAUGAGAUAAUCCAACACUUAUCUUGGUGUUGCGACCCGGUAAGGCUUGUUAUUGCUGCCUCUGUCUCCUGCAUGCAACCAGUGUUUGCAGCCAUGCUGUGAUUGACUUCUGUUUUUCCUUAUCAUACCAUACAUCUUAUCCCCAUUUCCUUGAAAAUAAAGAGAGAAAAAGAAUGUAUGUCUCUAAGCACAAUCUUCUAGCAUACUUAUCUCUUUGUUUUAGCCUGUUAAUGUCGGUUUUAGUCUUCUCCAGCCUGUCCUAGAUCAGCCUCUCAAACUUAAAUUUCCAAUAAAAGAAGUUGUUGUAUGUGACCUUAACAAAUUGAAGGGAUUGUGUGUUUUAUUUAUGCAAUUUUGUUAAAUGUGCAAUUUUUGUUGUUGCUGGAUGGUGAUGUUGAUAUUGACUGCUUGUAAAAUUCAGAAGGUUGGACGAUGUUCUUUGAUUGUCAAAGAAAAUUUCCAUCUAAAGCUUGUAAGAACUUACCCCAAGGCUUAGCUCUAGUGGAAAAUUUUGUUGGAUUUGUGGCUUUGGUCACAUGUUCAAGCCCUAUACCAUGCAAAGAGAAGCGUGGUUUUUAAGUGGAUAAAGGGUAGAGGGGUGGGCCCAUUAUCCAUCGAGUUGAGAAGGCUAUAAUUGAUCCAAAGGGAGAGUCCUAGACAGAUUUCUCGAUUAUCUAAAAGAUUUCUCGAUUAUAAAAAAAAGAUCUUGCAGAGAACUUUGAGAACUUCAGAAAUAUUGACGACAAGGUUGGUAUAUUGUAGUUUGAAAAGUUCUUUUUUUCUUUAGUUUUACCAAUACUCCACUUCUUUGCCUUAAUGUUUAGGUUAUUGAAUUUCUGCUUCUUAACAUGCCCAUCUUCACACGUGCAUGCUAUAGUCUAUCUUAAACUCUGGAACAAUCCUUGAUCAAUCUUCAUCUUCCCUAUCUCCAAGUGCAGUGCAUCGUUUGAUCUACUUGAGUCCUUCCUGACUACUAAAUUUCGGAAGGUCUUCGUGCAAGUCAACUUGCAUAUAGGGUAAGCAUUAUUCCAAACUUUUAGGAUCACAUAUCUCCUAUACUUUUAUCUUCUCUUUUUGUUGAUUGAGUUUGUAUUUUCUUGGUCUAGGUUGUGUUAUUUUUUCAGAACAGUGGUGGUUAUUCAGGAUAGCAACCUUUGCAUGAUUCACGGAUCUAGAUGCUUUGGUGUACUCAUUAUAUAUAUAUGCAAUGGCAUUAACUUCCAGUCACUUCCAGUCUUGGGAAACUAAUUGUGCAUGCCCUUAAAUGCAUAUGAAAUUGAGAAAAUCCUUUGGACCUGAAGUGUCUGGUAUCCCUCUAUGGAUCAGAUGGGAAAAACACUAACUACUUCCUAAGGUACUAGAUAUUGUUUUUGGCAGAGCUUGGUGGAUGGUUGUCAUACAUGUAACACUUCUUAUAUUAUUUGAUAGAAAGAUCUAUUUUUGUCACACUUCUUGUGAUUUCUCAAUUAGUGAACUUACCAGAACCUUAGUUGUGCGGACUCUUCACUUUUGAUGCCACACCCGUCUCAGAUUCUUAAAAAAUACACUACUUUUGGCGAAUCCGACAUGCACCCAUUGAAAUUUUUGAAGAGUCUGAGCAAUAUAGACCAGAACUACUCUGCUACUUCCGCUUAUGUUUUAAAAUGCUAGUUGUUCUUAGAUGUAAAUGUUCUAGGUGAUAAAACCAAAGAGAAAUAAUGUACGUUAAAAAUGAGGAACACGUGGCACCCUUUUCAUCCGAAUUUCAAUAUCCUAGUUAAGUCUGUCAUGUUGUUCAAUUAUUUCUAUGAACAUGAGGAUAUGCCCUUUUUUCUUCUGUAGGCUAAUAUCCUUUGGAACACCUGCUUGCUAAGAAACUUUUUUGCACUCUUCGAUUCCAUGAAGUUUGUAAGUCUCUUCCCUUUUCUGAAUGAAUAUUUGCCUUUCCUGAAUAUUAUUUGAGUACAUACUAACAUGAUGUUCGCUGAUUCCAACAUUUGCAGGCACAUUAAGUGAAGGCACGGUCUUCUACUUCCCACCUUGCCACAUAGUUAAUGUAUGUGAUUUCCGGGUGUUACUUGACUGCCCUAUGGAACUUUCAUUCCUAGUUGUAUACAAUUGUUAUUUUUUCUUUGCUUUGUGAGAAAGCUUCAAUACGUAGAGUCCAAAGUUCAUCAAAUUCAGAGUAAGGCAGGAAAUUUCAAAACUUCUUGAUGCAAAAUUUUAAUACAGGCUGAGCUUUGGUUUGAAACUGUAAAAAUCUUGCAGCUUUGGAGGGGAGUAUUUAAUCCAUAGAUAUGGUAUUAAUCUCAAGUUCGAUGAGUAUUCUAGGGUGGCCUUUUGCCAGCCUCAACGACUUCAGAUCUUAGGUGAUAGAAAAAACAUACUUUCUUGCAUUUAUAAAUACAAUGAAUUAAUGCUAGUAAAAAUCUUUUUUAUGUGGUUAUCUCAUCUGAUAUAUUCAAUAGAAGCAACUUCUAGACUAUAGAAACUGAUGACAGAGGACCCUAUUUCCAUGCAUGUGGAGUUGGGAGAUUCAAAAGGAACUGAAAAGUUUGGUUGCCUUCAAUGCAUGAGAUGGGAAAAACUUGAACUACUUCCUAGGCUCUAAAGGAUAUUUUUUGCAGUGAAAGGACAAAGAUUGGUGGAUGACUGUCGUACAAGUAACACUUUUUAUUUCCUAUAAUAGAAAGAUCUACUUUUGUUACAUGUUUUGUUGCAUGUAAUUGAAAGAAGUUUGUUGUUGUAAGGAUUGUGAUGAUGAAUAUUCACUACUUGUUAAUUUUAAAUAUUGUAUUAACUUCAAUUGUGAAGAUAAAUUUCCAUCGAAAGCUUACAUAAAGAUGUUACAGAGACUUUCAAAAACUUCAGAAGUUUUGAUGACGAGUUAGGUGUACUGUAGUUUGAGAAAUUCUGUUUUGUAGUCUUGCUGACUUUGUUACAUUUUCUUUUACAUGUAAUAGAAAGAAUUUUUGUUGUUGUAGGAUUGUGAUGAUGAAUAUUCAAUACUUGAUAACUUAAAAAGAUUUAUUAACUUCAAUUGUCAAGAUAAAUUUCCAUUGAAAGCUUACAUAAAGAUCUUAUAGGGACUUUCAAAAAAAGUAGAAGUUUUAAUGACGAGUUAGGUAUAGUGUAGUUUGAGAAAUUCUGCUUUAUAGUCUUGCUGACUCGACAUUGUUUUGCCUAACUAUUCAAGCUUAUUGGAUUUCUGCUUCUUAAAUUGCAUCUGCAUGUUUGCUAGCUACACUAUCAUAAACUCUGGAUCAGUCCUAGAACAAUCAAUAUCUUCUUUUAUCUCCAUGCUCAGUGCCUUGUUUGAACUUCUUGAGUCGUUAAUGACUACUAAAUCUCCACAGGUCUUCGUGCAAGUCAACCUGUAUGUAUGGUAACCAUUAUUCCAAACUUCUAUAUCCACUUCUCUCAUGUUAGUGCCUUCUAGGUUCUCUUUUGAUUAAUUAAGUCUUUUUUGGUCUAGGUUGCGUUAUUUCUAGAACAAUUAAACUUAUUACAAUCAUGAACUAUAUAGGGGGUUUCCAAUAUGAAGUAAUUAUUUUUUUGAACUUGUAACUAAAAUUUGUUUUAUUUUGCUUUUGCGAAUUUUUAAAUCUGUUGUUCUUUUCAUGAAAAAGGCAUUUUAAGCAUGGUGAAAUGGAAGCUCGGAGAUAUUGUGAAAAUGCUCUGAAAUUCUGUGCUACUGAGAGUCAUAAGGAGUUACUGUUCUUUGCCCUUAAAAAAUUGAAGGGGAUUGGAUAUGAGCUCAUUAUUAUUCUUAAAUCUGUAAUAAAUGAAGUUGGUGCAUGUGCCCUUAAUAAAUUGAAGGUGACUAUGUGUUUAUGAUACAUGUUGGUUAAAUGUCCAAUUUUUGUUGUUGCAUGAUGGUGACGAUGGAUAUUCACUGCUCCUUAACUUGAUAAGGUUGUAUGAACUUCAAUUGUCCAAGCAAAUUUUAAUCGGAAGCUUUCUUAACGAUCUUGCAGUGACUUCCAUAAACAUCAGAACUAUUGAUGAUGAUGUAGGUGGGUAUAGUGUAGUUUGAAAAUUUGUUUUUUGUCUUCUUGCUAGUGCUCAACUACUUUGGCUUACUAUAUAGGUUAUUGGAUUUCUUCUUCUUAACAUGCAUCUGUUGUUAGGAUCGAAUCCAUACACAUACACUUGAUGAAUGAAGAACACAAGAACUUUCAAGAGAAAGAGAUGAGAGAUAUAGAGAGAGAGAAAGAGAGAAACCAAUAUUUCGUGGUAACACCCCGUAAGUAAACUUCCACAGCGGUGGGUGUAUAUAUAUAUAUAUAUAUAUAUAUUAAUAAUUCAGAGUAUUUUUGGUUACAGAGAAUAAAUGGAGAAUAAAUAGUACAGCCUAAAAUUUGGAUUAUUGAACCACGUAAACAUUAAUAUAUGACAGUACAUCAAAUAUUUAUCAGGAUCCACAACCUAACAAUUCUCCCACUUGGAGACUGAUUCAGUCAUCCAAAAGUUCAUUCUCAAAAAGAAAUCUCUUCAUCAUCAACAUCUUUACCGCACCGCGACAGUUGUAGUAACAACUACAGAAGACCAACCGAGGUUUUGCAUAACCCAGCUUCCCAACAUCAACACAUUCGUCAACAUGUUUGUCGGGUGCAUUUCACCCUCUAUCUUCUCCAAGCACAUAUCACCAUCCUCCACUACCCUGAGAGUGAAAUGGUACCGCCUUUUAUGUGCUUUAUCUUUGAAUGAUAGACUGGAUUUUUCACCAACUGUAUGGCACUCUGGCUAUCUGAGUGAAGAAUCUUCUCGCUCUGCUUCUUUCCCAAUUCCUCCAGAUAAUCUGCCAGCCAUAUCAUCUCUUUCCAAGCUUCAACUAUUGCCACAUACUCAGCUUCAGUAGAUGAAAGAGAAACACACUUCUGAAGCCUGGCAUCAAACUCACUACUAUUCCACCUAUGGCGUAUAUAUACCCAGAUGUUUUCUUGCUCGAGUCUACAUCCCCACCAAGAUCAGCAUCUACAAAACCUUGUAGAGUAACCUUGCCUUUGCCAAAACAAAGUGAAGUGCUGGAUGUGCCUCUCAGAUAUCUCAGAAGCCACUUCACAGCUUCCCAAUGCUCUUUCCCCGAGUUUACCAUGUACCUGCUAACAACUCCCACUGCAUGUGCUAUAUCAGGUAUAAUGCAGACCAUAGCAUACAUCAAACUCCCAACUGCUGAAGCAUAUGGAACAAGUGCCAUAUGCUCACGCUCCUCGGCUGUGUUGGAUGACUGCUCCUUUGACAAGUUAAAGUGAUUUGCCAAUGGAGUAGUCCUUGGUAGCAUCAUUAACCCUGAAUCUGCUCAACACCUUCUCAAUGUACAACUCCUCAGAUAGAUUUAAAGUGCCAGCAGAUCUAUCCCGAGAAAUCUUCAUCCCAAAAUCUGCUUCGCUGGACCCAAAGCUUUCAUCUCAAAUGUUGCAGACAACCUUGUCUUCAGAUUGUUAAUCUCCCUCAUACUAGAUCCUGCAAUCAACAUAUCAUCCACAUACAAGAGUAGAAAGAUGUAUGAAUCAGUGUAUUUCUUGAAGUAACAACAAGGAUCCUUUUCAGCUUUACAGAAUCCACUCUUGGUCAUGAAGGAGUCAAACUUCUUGUACCACUGCCUUGGUGCUUGUUUUAGUCCAUACAAGCUCCUGGUGAGCUUGCAAGCCCUGUGCUCCUCUCCUAGAACCACAAAUCCUUCCGAUUGCUGCAUAUAGAUCUCUUUGUCUAGAUAUCCAUGUAAAAAUGCUGUUUUUACAUCCAUUCGAUCUAGAUGCAAAUUCUCCGAUGCAACAAUACUCACCAGAAUUCGAAUAGAGGUUAACAUCACAAUAGAAGAAAAUAUUUCAACAUAAUCAAUACCUUUCCUUUGUGAAUAUCUUGUAACCACUAAACGAGUCUUGAACCUUCUUUUGCCAUGUGGUUCAGUCUUGAUUCUGAAUACCCACUUGUUCAGCAAAACUCUCUUCCCUGCAGGUAACUCAAUAAACACCCAUGUGUCGUUCUUCUCUAGUGACCUCAUCUCAUCAUCAAUGGCUUGCUCCCACUUGAUCGAAUCCUCCACCUGUAGGGACUCAUUAAAAGACUCUGGUUCCCCCUCAUCAGUCAGCAAUAGAUAGUGUAAUGAAGGUGAAUACCUAUCUGGUGCCCUAAUGGUUCUGAUGAUCUCCUUAACACCUGCUCAGGUGUAACUUGCUCCACUUCAUAUUCUUCAGUUGGAGUUGGUUGAGUCCCAUACAUAUCCUAUGAGAUAAAGCCCCAAUGUUGAGCCUCAGACCUAAACGAAGGUUGCCAGCACGGUCCGUCGAUGGGUCUACGAGGUGUCAUUUAUGGGCGUUGAUGCAGCCUACAUUUAGUUGCCUGCACACUGUUUCAUGAAGGGGUGAAUAGGAGAUUAACCCCACGUCCUAACCUGACCUUUGGUGGUUAAUUUUUUUGUACUUUUGGGUACAUUAAGUUGUUUAUUAAGAUUCAAUCCCCAUACCCAAUUCAUUACUCAAAAUUAGACUUCUCUCAAAACAAAACCUCUCUAGAAACAUCCAUUGAGAUGAAGCUCAAGAACAACUUGUUGAUUGGAUUGUGAUGGUCUCUUCAUCAAGAUUUCAUGGUUUUCUCCUAUUGUGAGUUAUGGUGAUCCUUCAUCUUUAGAUAACCUUUUAUCUAAAGAGAUCCUUCCAAUGUUUUUAAGGAGAAUUCAUGAUCAAAUUAUAUGUUCUUCAAUCUAGCCAUAGGUUCCUUCUCAAAACGUUUUCUAAAGCAUUUUUAUGAUGAAUAUUGGAUUAGCUACUGUUAAUGAUUCUUUUAAUCCAAUUUCAUAAUGAACCCAUGUUCCUCCAAAAAUCUCAAUUUAGUCUAUGAUGUGUGUAACAUGAUCUUGUUGAGUUGAUUAUGGAUUGUGUUUUUGUUUAUGUAAUUGUAUCCCUAGCUACUGUUUUGUACUCAAAUUGACGGUGAAUUGUUUAUGAGUGAUCAAUGAUGAUCAAGGUUUAGGGAUUCGGUAAGCUUGACCUAUAUUCCCCUACUUUCUAUAGAAGUAAUGAUGUAGUGUACUUAGAGUGAUCUUGAUCCUAUCAUAAUUAAAUUAUUAUUUCACUAUGUUAUGAUACCUUUAUCUACUGUAUUAUACAUGUGUUGAGGUUGAAUUAUGAGUAUUGAUCAAUGGUGAUCAAAGCUUGGAGAAUUGGUGAAUUUGUCCUACUUCCUCUACUUCUCUAUAAAUUGCUAGUUGAAUUGGCCUUGAAGGGCAUUGUGUGGUAUGGUCCACUUAUGGUGGCGGUGUUUACUUUCUUGUUAAUAUGUAUAUUUGUUGAUCAUGGCCUUGAAGGCAAGAUUGUGAACUAUAAUAUGAGUCUUCUAUUCUAGUACCAUGAUCUAGAUGGUGAUGAUGUCUACCCCAAUUGAAUGAUGUUGUUAGGGUUAGGGUUAGGUGAUGCCAUUGAUGAAGUAAUAAUGGUUAAUGACCCCUAUCCAUGUACCCCAUAUGAAUAAGUUAUGAGUCUCAAACACAAAUGUUGAAAUUGCCUUGUUUCAUCUGCUAUUAUGUGAUGUGUGGUCUAUGAUUGAAUGUGCAUUAUGGUCUUAAUUGGGUGGAUGCCUCAAGUUGAUGUUGAUGGGUAUUAUGUGAUCAUAUUGACCAACGUACACACAUGUACUCACACCUUACGCAGGUUGACAAGUAGUAUAAGUUUAUGGUGUCUAAUAAAAGGAUAUUCACAUACGCACUAAUGUCUACUACAAUGCUUGUAAAGUAUAUGUACAUAAAGUAUGUUAUGUAUAUAUUAACUAGGAUGACUUGAUAGGUGUACUAGUAUGAACAAGGGUAUGGGACCUUGUCUAUGCAUUGCACAUGUGUGCCUUAGUUCCUAGGUUGUUAUCUAUGUACAUGAAUAUGAAUGUAUGAUUAAGCCAUGAAUAUGUCUUGUAUGAUAUGACGAAGUAAGAAUAUGUAUAGUGUUUAAAUGUGUUUAUAUGAAAGGAUUGCUCAUAUAGUUAAACAUAUACACUUAUGCAUGAAUAAAGUAUGAACAUGUAUGGUCCAAGGGUGUUUAUGUGAAAGGUUUUCUCACAUACAUGUACACAUACACACACAUGAAAGCAUGUCUUUGAUGCUUGCAUGAUGAUCUAGUAAAUAGAGGGUCUCUUGAAAGAUGUUAUCAAUUGUAUCGUAAAACAAAUGGUGCUUGAAUAUGCUAUGUCCAUGUGAAAGGUUUUCUUACAUGAUUUAGGUUGAUGAAAGAAUGCUCUCAUCUAUGACCUAUGAGCUAAGCAUAGGAGGAGUUAAUCUCCUAAAGCCUAUGUUUUAUAAAGUAAUAAUAAUAAAGUCUUUUCAAUAAAGGAAAAUUAGCUUAGAGCUGAGUGCCCAUGAAGUUGAAGGGUGUCUCUUCCCAAUGAGGGAAGGUCGGUUCACCAAAGUCCUCACGAGGUGGAUAACUACAAUGCCCCGUUUGGCAUAGAGAGCAUUCCAUAUAUGCCUCCAAGUUUCAUGAACUAUGUUUGCCCCAUAGGAUCUAGAAAGUGAUAUCACCUAACAUGCUAGCAUGAUGUUAAUGUUCUACUUUGGCAAAGUAGAGCACCUCUUUUGGUGUGAGGUUCUACAACACUGGAUUUCAUGUUUAGCACCCAUGGUCUUAGUGUCGGUUAAGGCUAUAGUUUCUCUAAAGUAAAAUGGACAAUGGAAGUAAAGUAAUGGACUCUAACUAGGAUAACAUAAGGUAAGUUGCUAGUAUACGUGAGAAUAAUGACGUUACCUAUGCAUUGCACAAGUAGCUUUUGCAGGAAGUUCUACGAAGGUGUUCUAAUGUAUAUGUAUAUGUUUAUGUUCUUUAUGCAUGACAUUGUAUAUGCUAUCUACUUGUUAUGGUGAUAUGCAUGGUAUGAGAUCUAUUGAGUCUAUAUGAUGUGGUCUUACGUUACAUGCAUAAUGUUUUUCUUGUUGAGUAUAUGAUGAAGGUCCUACUUGAUAUGCAUGUAGUCGACUAUAGUAUCAUGGUUUACAUAUGAAGUACAUGGGCAUUAGUAGGCUUAGAAUGAUAUUAUGAGUAUGGUUCUAUGAUGUCUUUCUGAAGUGAAGUACAAGUAUGUUAAUGUUCACUAUUGUCUUACCAUGAUGAUGUUGGAAGUCUUGACUAUGUGGUCUUGUUAUGAGUUCUUCUAUGUGGUCCAUAAAGUAUGUUGGGUCAAAUGUGAGGUAUAUGUCUUAUUAUAUGAAAUGGUACUAUGAAUGUAUGUGCCUUAAGGUGAUGCUUGAGUGUGGAGAGUGUAAUCGGACAUUAUCUAUACAUUGCACAAAGUAUCACUAGAGGAUUCUUGGGAAGUUAAGGAGUUAAGAGGAAAAAGAAGUUACUAUAAAUGAAAUGAGCUUACUAUGAAGUGAUGCUAAAUGAGCGUUAAAUGCACUGUAUGACUUUAUGUGAUGUUAUUACUAUUGUAUAUGCCUAUAUGAACUAUGUGAGUUGAAUGAUGCUUAUGGUAUCAAAGUUUAUGAAUUUUUCACAAAAGACAUGAUGCAUGGUUUCAAAUUAACAUGUCCUCUUUAUACUUUUAUGCAUGGUUGUCAUACUUAGUGCAUUCUUGUACGAACACCAUUUUUCUUCACUUUUUCACACAAAGUGUAGGUUAUGGAUGCUUAAAGGAUUUCUCUAAGAUGAUGGGCUUGAUAUGUGUUUCCCAAGCUCAAGGGAAGGGAUCCUUAAGCUCAAGGAUUUCCUAUGUCAUAUUCUUUUCAAGUUAUGUAAAAGCUUAGUUAAUGUACUCUAAUGAUGGUGAGUCUAAGACGACAAAGAGACUUAGAGUGUUAACUAUAUAUAUGAUAUUUUAUACAUAUAAUGGAAGUGAUUUCUGGCAUAUGAUGUGCUAAGAAAGUUUCCAAUUUUCUGCUGAAUUUCCUAUGACAAGGCAAUGAAUGAUAUAUCAUGGCUUGUAUAAGACCUCUGAGAGGUCAAUCACGCCAUGUUACAUCUAGGGGGGUGCUCCUCGGUCGUGAUAAAGUGGUAUCAGAGCAUGAUGUUAUCAGAGCACCUCUUUAGGUCUGAGGUUCUACAACACCGGAUUCCAUUUUUAUCACCCAUGGUUUUAGUGAUAUUUAAUUCUAUAGUUUCCCUAAAGUAAAAUGGAUAAUGGAAGUAAUGUAAUUGACCCUAACUAGGAUAACCUAUGGGAACUUGCCUAGUUUAGGUGAGAGUAAUGGACUUACCUAUGCAUUGCACAAGUAGCUCUUGAAGGGAGUUCUAGGAAGGUGUUCUAAUAUAUAUGUUUAUGUUCAUUAUUCAUGACAUUGUAGUGUUGUAUACUUGUUAUGGUGAUAUGCAUGGUAUGAGUCCUAUUGAGUCUAUAUGAUGGGGUUUUACCUUAUAUGCAUAACAUUGGUCUUGGUGACUAUAUGGUGAAGGUACUACUUGAUAUUUGUAGUUGACUAUACCAUCAUGGUUGAUGUAUGAAGUACAUGUUAAGGCUUGUAGUCUCUCUGUAGGUUUAGUUAGUAUGUGGAGGUUAUAGGACUUCACAUGUACAUGGCACUGGUAGGCUUAGAAUGAGAUUAUGAGUAGGGUUCUAUGAUGACUUGUAGAAGUUAAGUCCAAGUAUGUUAAUGUUGACUAUUGUCUUACUAUGAUGUUGGAAGUCUUCACUUGAAUGUGGUCUUGUAACGAGUUCUUCUAUAUGAUCCAUAAAGUAUGUGGGGUCAUAUGUGAUGUCACGCCACAAAUCCCAUUAAGACGGACAGACACCCGAUGCCCAAAAAGGCCCGAGUCAAUCAGCCUGUAACCUGUGCUUACUAUGCAUAUAACUAUAACAAUCGUGUGAUAAGUUCACAUCGGAUGCAGAGAUACGAACCAACGUACGUGACCCAACACUUGGCUGAUUAUGCCACAACUCUUUAAGAUGCAACUGAACCAUAUAUAUACAUCCACAAAGCCUCAAAACGCCUUACCCUUAACUACGAUACAACACCAAAAUGAAUUUACCAAGGUCUUAGUAAAGCUUCGAAUCAAUCUGGAGCCAAAAGUAGUUGAGUGUCGUGUGUUCCUACAAAGGAUGUCUACUAGCUGAAGUACCUAUUCCUGUAGCAUGAAAUACAACAUCCCCAGCGAGGGACGUCAGUACGAAAAAUUGUACUUAAUAUGUAAGGAAAUAUAGCAUUUGUAAUACGAGGGCUCAAAUGAAAUCAAGUAUCAACCAUAUGAGUGCAUAGAUUAGGACAGAAGACUACCUUUAUUUACUUUUGUGAGAUAAUGUAAGUAGCAUUCUUUUCAUUACUUUACUAUACAUUAUAAUCUUUGUAGGGCAUGUGAUACAAGUGACCAGCUGAUUGGUGGAAGAAGAAGAUGACCCAUGCUAGGCCUUUUAACCCAGGGAUGUGGUCCUCAUAAUUACACCAUUUGGGAUUGUCCCAUGCUACCCUGAGAUGCCACCCUUCUAUACCAAUAGGGAUUGACCCAUGCUAUGCUUUCUCCCCUGAGUUGCCACCAUUAUGUUGGGAUCGACCCAUGAUACGCAUUUGCCCCUUGGAUGCCACCUGUAAUUAUACAGAAUUCUUCACUUAGAUUCCUUAAUCUUUGAGAUUGUUGUUUAUCAAUUCAUAACUCUUUUGAGAUUGUUGUUUUGGUGGUCAUAUCAUUUUGGACAAAUGGAGAUACAUUAGCAGUGGUAGAAGACAUGAAAACAAUACUUCAAGGAUGUAACAAUGAUAGAAGGAGCUAUGUAACAUCAACACGUUACUUGUGAGCUUAAUGACACAAUUGACUUCAAUUGACUAAGAGAAGGGAUAUACCAAAUUUUCUUUUGCAAAUAACAUUUCUAUACAAGCACAAGUAGGAUACUUACACAAGUAUAGAGUAGUGAACAUAUAAUGAAGCAGUUCUAUGAACUAAUAAGAAGAGGGAGAAAUAUAUUUAGCUAUUUGGAGUUAAUACGCGGCCAUUGUUUCCUUUACUAGGAAUAGAACUUAGGAGAUUCACUUCAUUGAUAUUAAUUAAAAGUGUGAGAUUUCAUGCCAAGGAAUAUGGAAUUGAAUAGCCUUACAUACCUUAUUUUCUGACCAAUACCACUAUUGUCAGCCCCAACCCUAGGUGAGGCGGACAAGUAACUUAUUAACACAUACUUUACAAGUAAUCUAUGAUGAGAAAGUAAACUACUAUGCAGACUACCGAUGAGAAGCUUCAUAUACAACACAUUUUGACUAGCUAAAUCGAUAUAUACGACAAGAGAAACUAUGAAUACAAAUAAUAACUUUACAAUGUCUACAAAGCCUCUACUGGAAGCCAUGAUGGUACCAUUAUUAAUAUACACAUAGUAAAGACUCGGAAAAGCCCCGAAUUAACCUGGAGCUUACCAACAUCCACUGAGUACAAUGUGCUUCUAUUGGAAAGAUCUACUAGUUAAGUACUUGUACCAGCAACAUGAAAUGCAGCGUCCCCAAUAAGGGACGUCAGUACAAAAGAAUGUACUUAAUAUGUAAGGAAGAAUACAACCAUAUUUAACAUGAGAGCUCAAGUGAAACCAAAUACCAAUAGAUAAGGAUUAGAGACCACCUUUGCUUUGUAGUUGUGGAAUCAUGCAUGUUACAUUCUUUUCUCUAUUUUUCUGUACUUUAUAAUCCUUAUGAUAUAAAAUGACCAGCUGAUUAGUGGGAGAAAAGGAUGACACAUGCUAGGCAUUUUAACACUUGGGAUGUUGUCCUUAUAAUUCCACUAAUUAGGAUCAACCCAUGCUAGGCUUUUGCCCCUGAGAUGCCACCCUUUCAUACCAAUUGGGAUCGGCCCAUGAUAGGCGUUCACCCCUAGCUGGCACCCUUUAAUACAAUAAAGGAUCGGACCAUGCUAUGCUUUUGUCCCUGAGCUGCCACCCAUAAUCAUACAAAUUACUUCACUUAGAUUCUUUCAUCUUUCAGAUUGUUGUCUAUCAGUUCAUAACUAUUUUGGGAUUUUUCUUUAGAUAAUUAUAACUCUUUUGAGAUUGUUCUUUUUUAUGUCUAUAACUUUUUUGUGAUUAUUGUUAUGGUGAUGAGAUACCUUGUUUAGAUUUGGAACUACGGAUGAGUAGUAGAAGACAUAUGAAUAUGGACAUACGAUAAUAACAAUGACAUGGGAAGCAAAUUUGACUUGAACGUAGUACUUAGGAGCUUAUAUGACUCGGUAUGCAUUUUGACAUCUCAAUUGAAGCACAUCUAGUGAAGACAAUUUAACAUUCAGACAACAGAUUUGGACUCUAUAUGAUGCUAAUACAAGGUGUUUAUGAAUAUGGAACCAAGGGGGAAAAAAUAUGGGCAGAUUAAACUUAAGGACGAAACAUAUUCCUAGUAAGUACAUAUAAAUAGACAAUUGAGCAAGUAGUGAUCUUGUGAGGUAACAUUAUAGUCUAACACAAUGGGAGUAAUAACAAAUAAAGGGAACAUAUGAACUUGUUAUAAGUAGACAUGUCUAUAAACAAUUAAAGCAAGUUGGAAAGAUAUGGGCAGAUCAUAUAUCCAUCCAAUAAACAUAUGUACAUGUGUAAUAUAGGAUCACUUUUUGACUUAUAUAUGAAAAAUAUGUGCUAGAAGUACUUUGGCAAUGAAACAAGUUUAAACCUUGCAUGCUAACACUUGGUAGAGUAAACACACACAUUUAAUAACAAACUUAUAUUAGAUUACCCACUUUAAUGCUCUAAGGAGUAGGAACUGAAACUGUGGAUCAGUCACUACCAAAGGCACUUAGAAAGCUUACUUUUUGUAAUGCAAUUUUCUGAUUCAUGCCAAAGAAAUAGGAAAUGAAAUAGCCUUACAUGCCUUGCUAUACAAUUCAAAACGUAUGACUUGAACUCCUUCUCUUCAGAUCACUAAUCUACAAUAAAAAUAAGUUGUAAGACUAGUAUUAGUAGCUAAUCAAUAAAUUUGAGCCACUUGAUCAAACCCAAAUAGUAACGAAUCAGUAAGCUGCAAUCAUCUAACGAGUUUUUUCUUCCUUCCCCAUCCCUUUAAUCGCGUCUAUAUACUGUACAACCUUUGUAUCAGGUCCUCCCCAAAACUCCCUGCAAUAUUUAAGUCCUUUAAUGUCUCCAUAACUUCCCCGCACAUCCAGUCACAUCCCUUAUCAUAACAUACAUAAAACAAUCUUUGAACAUAAUAAUGUAAUAGAAGCAACAUAAAUCAUGGUUUCUGAUAACCAGCACUUGAAGAGCUAACAUUACUUUUAAUGUUCUCAAACAAGCUCAUAGCUUAAUUUAAAAGAACUCCCCACCAUAGCUGUCCCAAUAUGCACUAAUCACCAGAACAUCCUCCCCAAUAUUCACCAUGUAAAAGUAACAAUUCCCAACUCAAUAACACAUACCAAAUGUCCUAAUUAACUCCAGCACAAGAGAAAUUUCAGUAGCUUACCUUGCUGGACAUAAAUACCACUUGCUAAGAUUUGGAUUCUUCAAGGUAAAGGUUGUCCUCCUUAACUUGUCUUAAAUUAUACCUUCCAAUAGCUUGAAAUACCUAUUAUUAAUGAAACCUCAUGAUAUUUAAUGGUUGUUGUAUGAAUCUAAGAGAGAGAAGAGAGAAAUCUCGAGUAAUCAUAUUUUUUGUCAAAGUAAAAACGGUUAGAAAAAGCUGAUAUCAAUCUCUUUUAAAAGAACUUACUUUGGCCGAUUUUGUCACUCAUUUUGGGCCAUAAUUUUUCAAGUAAGUGACCCACCUACUUGUACUUUUCAUUUGGGCUUUUUGGACUUAAGAACAUUGGCCCUUUUGCCACGUUUCUUGUACUUCAUUUGCAGCCAACACAUGUCGUUAAUUUGGGCCACCCUUUAAGUAGGUGCUGCACCUUGUUUUCCACUAAAAUUAUUUAAUGUGUACUUGAGAAGAUUGGACCUUGGCUGUCCAUUUUCCCCUUAUUCUUCUAUUCAACUUUGGCUAAAUUAAUGCAAAUAGGUGUAGUGUACUUGUCUCAAUUUAGUAGGUGAUUGGUCCUUUGGGCUGGUCAAUAUGUCAAAGUAGGUGAUUCACCUACUUGGUCCUUUGGGAUGGUCAAUAAGUCAAAGUAGGUGAUAAACCUACUUCUCACAUACUAGCUUAGUGAAGUCAAGAAAGCACCUCAAUAUUUUGUUCCAUUUCAAGACCUUAAUAACUUCACCAUAACUUAGAACUUAUAUACACUAUGUAACUUUAUACUUUAGACUCAAAUACAACCUUGUGAUCCCAUGUUUAAAUACUUCCAUCGACAUCAACUUAAUUGGGUCGCACCAAAAUUUCUAGACAGUUCACUAUAAACCUUAUUUAUUGCCAAAUCACAUAGGAAACCGAAUUCAUAACUAUACCACAAGGCAGUUUAUAAGCAUUAUAUAAAUAGAACUAGUACAUAUAGAAUACGAAGAGUUACAUCUCCCCCUCUUAUGAUCAUUCGUCCUCGAAUGAUAGGUGCACCUGGUAGUUCAGUUGAUCUCUAAAUUUCAUAUAAAUAUUUGCAAGAGUCCCCAUUGUAAAUAGGAAGAACUAUCAAAAAUUCAUAGACUAAACUAAAACAUGCAUAGAUAAAUCUAGCAUGACGUCUCGAUAGAUAUUGUUCAUGAAAUAGUAAUAUGAAAAAUUAAAUCCCUUCUUUACCAUGUCAUUCACUGAAGAUACACAAGUAGUACUCAUACAAAUAAGACUGUAAUAUAACUAAACACAAGACACACAAAUGACAUAUCAAAUGAACAAAAGCUAGCAGGAUUCAUGAUCAUAUAAGGGGAACACAUGAUCUCAGAUCCUUAUAUUGAUGUUUAAAAUGAGGAGGGUUACUUAGUAUCUCUCUACCAUCUUCUAUUCCCAAGUAUCUUAUGUUAUAUUCUAUUCCUUCCCUAAUACAUAUCGUUAUACACUAUGCGUUAACAAUUAAGAAUAACUAUACUAUCUCCCAAUAUUUUUUUUGUACAUCAACGGACACAUAAAAUCAUAGGCUAUCGCAGCAAUACUUUCCUUUCUCUUUUAUUUGUGACACUUUUCAGAGAUAAGUAUUUUAAGAACACAUAGUUCUUAAUAUAAAAUCUAAAGUUCUAUGUCGCUCUUGUGAAUAGGGUAUUAUGCUAAGUUAUUUGUUUAUGGUUGAUUAAAUUUAAAUCUAUCUCAACUUUUUCUGGUCAAAAUCUUAACUACUUAAUAAUACAAGGAAAUAUUUUCCCAAAUUAUUCAAUACUCAAAUAAAUAAGCAUAGAGAGGGCAUAGUAUAUGGAUGAAUAAGCCACAUUGGGGAUGACACAUAGGCAGACUAGCCCAAAAGGGAGCACACAAAGUAUACUGGAUUAACUAUAGAAAUGCACAUGGUGUACGCGUGCAUAUGAGCUAUAGGUUAGAGUGUGAGCGAAUGAACAUAGGGAAUAUAGGGAUGGUGUCACGCCUGAAAACCUAUUAAGGAGGACAGGCACCCGAUUCCCUAAAUGCCCGAGAGAACAAACCUGUAACCUGUCCUUAUUGUGCAUAUAACUAUAACAAUUGUGACAAGUUCACCUAAAAUGCAGUGAUACAAAAAAACAUAAGUAGGUUUAAAAGUUAUAUACAUGACUUGCCUGUUGAGGCCACAACUCCUUAAGACAAAACUGAACCAUGUACAUACGCCUACAAAGCCACUAAAGAUAGAAGACUAGAGUAGGUCGGGACAGACCCCGCCUUACCCUUAACUUCUAUACAAUACCAAAAUGAAUUUACCAAAGACUCAAUAAAGCUCUGAAUCAACUUGGAGCUCACCCAAAAGUAGCAGAGUUCUGUGUGCUCCUACUGAGGAGGUCUACUAGCUGGAGUACCUGUGUCUGCAGCAUGAAAUGCAGCGUCCCCGCGAGGGAUGUCAGUAUGAUAAAAUGUACUGAAUAUGUAAGGAAAUAUCAUAUGUAAUACGAGAGAUCAAAAUGAAAUUAAAUAGCAACAUAUGAGUGUAUAUAGAUUAGGAGAGAAUACCACCUUUGAUUACUCUUGUGGGAACAAGUAAGUUACAUUUUUUCUUUACUUUUUGUAUGUUAUAAUAUUUGUAGGGCAUGUGAUACAAGUGACCAGCUGAUCAGUGGUAGAAGAGGAUGACCCAUGUUAGGCGUAUUAAUCCCUAGGAUGCGGUCCUCAUAAUUACACAACUUGGAUCGGCCCAUGCUAGGCUUUCGCCCCUGAGCUGCCACCAUUCUAUAUCAAUAGGGAUCGGCCCAUGCUAGGCUUUCGCCCCUGAGCUGCCACCCUUAUUUACCAGUUGGGUCGACACAUGCUAGGUUUUCAUUCCUGGGCUGCCACCCGUAAUUAUAUAGAUUUCUUCACUUAGAUUCUUUAAUCUUUAAGAUUGUUGUUUAUCAAUUCACAACUCUUUUGAGAUGUUAUUUUGGUAGUUAUAAUCAUUUGGAGAUAUAGAAGUACAGAACAGUAAUACAAGACAUGAAAAUCAUACUUCAAGGUAAUAACAAUGACAUAAGGAGCUAUGUAACCUCAACACAUUACUUUAAGAGAUUAAUGACACAAUUGACUUCAAACAACAAAGAGGGGGAUUCACAUACCUGUAACAACAUCUACCAUGGCAUAACAAGAAGCUAACCAAUCCAUACCCAUUAUAACAUCAAAAUAUACUGUGUCUAGCUCAACAAGAUCAGCAAAUGACUCGCGACCACAAACAGUUAUAAUGCAAUUACGAUAAACCCUUCUAGCUAUUAUAGACUCACCAAUCGGUGUAGAUACUUAAAAUGGCUUUAAUAAUAAUUCUGCUGUUCUUUUGAACUUUUCAGCAAUCAAUGGUGUAACAUAUGAUAGAGUAGACCCAGAUCAAUUAAUGCAUAUAUAAUAUGUGAAAAGAUGGAUAAUGUACCUGUAACCACAUUGGGCGAGGCUUCUGAAUUUUGUCAAUCCCCUAGUGGAUAUAUGCGAUUCUGACCUCCAGUAGAUCUAGCUGCUCCACUAGCUCCUCUACCACGACCUGUAGGCAUAUGUAGUCCCCUACCUAAAAAAGGGGUUGAUGGGGUCAACUCAACAACUGAUCUAGUUGGUUGUGCAAAGCCACCCACUCCCCUAUGAGGGAAGUUUCUCAUCAUAUGCCCUGGUGUGCCACACCAAAAAAAAACAUCCGCCCCAAACCUGCAUGAACCUAGAUUAUUCCUCCCACACUAUUUACAAGGUUGUCGUGGAGGCCUUGAUUGGCUCGUACUUCCCUGCUCUUGAUGACUCACUAUUUGUGAGCCUUGGAUUUCACUUCUUUGCCCAAACUCAUUGCCCCUAAACCCUUGGAACCGUGGUGGAGCACUAGCUGUAGAGUAGAAAGAUGACGGCCUAGGUGGUCUGUUAGAGAACUGAGGCCUAAAUUCACCUUGGAAUGGUGUAAACUGGACCAUGGAUCUAGCCCUCUUAGAAUUCCCUAUUUCCGACUCUUGCGUCCUUCUUCUAUGACUUUGAUACUCCAACUUUUGCGCAAAAGCCUGCAUCCUUGAGAUAUCCUUAUCUUUAUUCAACGAUUUACAGUCACUAACCCGAUAUAAAUCUAAUAGAUCCACAAAUCGAUGAACUCUAUCCUCCAUAGUCGCUACUACUACAUUAGGAGCUUACCUGGACAAGAAUUAAAUUUGAGACUAUACUCCCUCACUCAUAUUUCCUUGGUGGAAAUUUAACAACUGAUCCGCACAUGCCUCUUGGAUCUCCUAUGGUAGACAAUGAUCAAGGAAUGACUUUUUGAACUCUUUCCACGUAGCUGAAGGUGCAUUUGUUCCCCUAGAUUGCUUCCAAGCUUCAUACCACAAUAUAGCCACACCUUUUAAUCUGUAUGCAGCUAGCUUAAGUGCUUCUUUACCACUUACAUGCAUAAUAUCCAAAGUACAUUUAAUUUGAUCUAUAAAGUCUUGUGGAUCUUCAUAAGAAUCUGAACCGGUAAAUGAUGGAGGGUCCAAGUUAAGAAAAUUAUGUAUCCGUGUUCCAGCUGAUCUAUCUACACCACUAGUACCUGCAACUGGACCUUCUUUCCUUUGGCCAUGACCAGCAGAUACGAGUCAAUAAUUGGACUGCAUUCCUCAAAUCUUGCUCGGUAGCAUUGAUAGGGGGUUCCUGAGAUUAAUCUUCCCUCCUUAGUUCUUCAUAAGAUGGAGGCGUCGGGGAAGUCUUCGAUAGAGACUCAUCUUGAGACCUACUUUGAACAGCUUGGCUUGGUAGUGGUUGGCUGGUCACUUCUUGGGCAGCCAUAUCUGCUCAUUUACCAGUAUUUUUACUCCUCGUAACCGGAAUCUUUGCUAUGAUAAAACAAUAGAGAAAUUAGAUAUGAUUCACCUCCAACAAUGGUUCUAUCGCACGAUCUAAGAAAUGAAAGAAAUGAGACAACUCCUACAUGUCCCGUAGCCUCCUGCUUAUAGAUGUGGUGCACAACACAUCCAUAAGCAAGACUCUACACAGACACAACUUUGUAGACUCCCUAGGAUGACCUGCUCUAAGCCUCAAAACCCCUUAAGACAGACAUGCACCCAAUGCCCUAAAGGCUCAAGAGAACCAACCUACAACAUUUUCUUACUGUGCACAUAACUAUAACAAUUGUGACAAGUUCACCUAAAAUACAGCAAUACAAAACAACAUAAAUAUGUCAAAAUGUUAUAUACAAGACUUGGACGUUGAGGUAACAGCUCCUUAAUACAUAACUGAAUCAUGGACAUACAUCUACAAAGACUCCAAAAGAUAGAAGACUAGAGUAGGUCGGGACAAACCCCGUCUUACCCUUAACUACGAUACAAUGCUAAAAUGAAUUUACCAAAGACUCUCCGAAUUAACUUGGAGCUCACCCAAAAGUAGCAGAGUUUCAUGUGCACCUAUGGAGGAGGUCUAAUAGCUGGAGUGUCACGACCCAACCUGAUGGGCCAUGACUAGUGCCCGUUUUGGACACCCACAUACAAACCUGCUAAGUAUAACAAACUGAAACUAAGACAAUAUGGAAUUUAAUCAAAUCAAGCCAACCCCAACGUCAUAUAUAUAAAGAGGACCUGUCUUAUAAGGAGUCAUAACCAUUCAACCAUAACAACAUACGCGAGCCGACAAGGCUGCCACUACACAAUACACAAUGAUGUACGCAGCCGACAAGGCUGCCCCUCUACAAGCAGACAUCCCAAACAAACCAUGUCCACACCAUUACCCAAAACAUAUAUAUACAACCCACAUAAUGUCCACAGAGCUCAAAGAGUACAGUAGUGAAACUCGACGGGACAGGGCCCCGCCAUACCCAUACACGAGCAAAAGACUACACAAAAGUUAUGUACCAAAACGACUGGGCUCCGGAACAGUGGAGCUCUCCCAAUCAGCAGAGUAGAUAUCCUAGGCGGGAGGAUCACCGAACUGUGCGUCUACACCUACGGGCAUGAAACGCAGCACCCCGAGGAAAGGGGGGUCAGUACGGACAAUGUACUGAGUAUGUAAAGCAUAAGGUAAAGAUGACAGGAUACCAAUAAGCAAUUCAAAACAAAAUAUCGCUACACAUGUACCCUUUUAAGUGAAAAUCAUGCAUAUCUUUAACAUAUAAGGUGCCCAGCUUCCCUAGUAAGGGGCUCGACAAAAUAAUCAUCACGUCAUCUCCGUCAUCAUCAUCAUCAUAACCAUCCUCAUCACCAAUCAUACAUAUAAUAUACAUACCCGGCCCUCUAGUGAGGAACUCGGUGACAUAUGCAAGAAACUCCGCACAAACAUUACCCAGCCCGGGACUCGGUGAAAUGAUAAAUGACUCUAUGCACGAGCAAAAUAUUAUGAGCAACCAUAUGCAAUUAAAAUCAUUUCUUAUAACUCAAUAGAACAAUCAACGUGAACCAGCAAGUAGUAUUACAAAAGAUUAAUGUUUUAUCAAGAUUAUGAUCCUUUAAUACGAUAUGGAAAAGUAAAAUCUCAAUGACUCUAAGAAGCACUACCAUAGAUAUGAGACAUCAUCAUAGCCUUAGACAUAGCCGAUAUAUAGAGGAAUAAUUGUGGAAGCAAGAAUAUACGUCACCUAGACGCUCUAGAGGUAAGUAUCAAACUGUCCGUUAUUCGCUUAUUUUUAAAAGUCAUACCAAACAAAGAAAGAGGGGACAGCGUUACAUACCGUAUAGUCGAGCCGCAUGUCAAAAAUUUUCUGCUCAAGCUAUUAAUCUAUAACAAGCAACAAUCGUGCCACAAUUAGAUAAAUAUCACGCUUUACUAUCUUGUAAGCUAGCUAAAAAUAUAACGAAAAUCCGGCAGCACUUCCCUAAUUUCCUUACUUCGUCCCAACCGACAACAACCCAAAUUAUCCACAACAAUACCAAUAACACAUAUAACCCAACGAAUCAUAUUAAACAGCCCCCUCUCCAAAACAGUUCCAUCUCGGCAACCAUAGCAGCGAAGCAACGACACACCGAGUGAUAACUCGUUUUAUAAUUCGCAACACAUCUACCUUAUUGUAUUCAUCCUUUGGAGUAUAUACUCAUAAUAACAUUUAAUAUAUACAUAAUGCCAAAACAGAAUUUUCCCGCAGUUUGCUUUAAUCAAAACAACCCAAGCACCAACACGACACCACUAAUAAUCCGAUUAUGGUUUCCGUUCAUACUUAGCACAUUCAAUAACUAAAACAAACUUCCUAAGCUACUGGUCACGCCCCCUUCUAAUAUUAAUGGUUAAUUAACAAAGGUAUUCUAAAGAAUUCACACACCAAACAAGGAGGUUACUAACCAAAUUAUUUGCAGCUGCUAGCCAAGAGUUGCGGGGUUGGUUUCUCCAUUUCCAUGGCUGCCUAAGCCAAGUGGUGAAGAAGAAGAUGAUAUGCAGCAAUGCAUUUCACCACUUUAUUUAGCAUGGAGUGGAUUUCUGCACCUCAUUUAAUAGUAUGAAGUGGAGGCAGCCCCCCUCUACACCUGUCCACUAUGGCCAGCUCACAAUCUGAUCCCUUUUAAAUUUUUUCCUUGAGUGGUGGGGCCCACUGGAUUAAAUUAAUCCAAAUCAGCCACUAAUUAACCCCUCACUUAAAGUUAAUGGCACUUACAUUAGCCAAAUCAUACUUAAUAUCACAUUUGGAAUUAACAUCCUUUCCUAAUAUUUCUUUAAUAACUUACAACUUAAAAUAAAAUCUCAUUCUCCGGACUUACGUCUACUAGAUCAUGAAGCGCACUACGCAUAAAAAAAAAUAUGAGGCAUAACAUCCUUCCCCCCUUAGGAACAUUCGUCCUCGAAUGCAAAGUUAGCGUCUUACAAAAAAAAAUUCCAGCUAGAUCUCUCUAAUAGUUAUACCUAUCAACCUGCAUUCCGUAACUUACAGAUGCCUCAUAGAGUCACAACUUACUACAUAAUCUCGUUUAUCAAUCAAUAUAGUCAAGCUAGGAAUUGAAUUACCUACAGGUACGGGGAACAAGUAAGGAUACUUAUUCUUCAUUUUGUCUUCCGUUUCCCAAGUCAUCUCCUCCCUACUGUUAUUUUGCCACAACAGUUUGACGGAAGCCACAUCCUUAGUAUGUAACCUUCUAACCUGACAAUCAAGUAUAGCUACGGGUUUCUCCUCAUAUGACAACUCCUCUGUUACCUGAACAUCAUCUACGGUGAAUACUCUAGAAGGAUUACCAAUACAUUUAAGUAGCAUCAAUACAUGGAAGACUGGAUGUACCGCCUCCAAAUCAGAUGGUAGAUCCAACUCAUAGGCAACCUUGCCUAUCCUACAAACAAUCUGAUAAGGCCCAAUGUAUCUCGAAUUGAGCUUCCCCUUCCUGCCGAAUCUCAUCACACCCCUCAUGGGUGAUACCUUCAGGAAUACCCAGUCACCAAUCUGAAACUCCAAAUCUCGACGCCGGUUAUCUGCAUAUGACUUCUGUCGACUCUGGCCGCUAAUAAUCUUUCUUGAAUAAGCUUCACCUUGUCAACAGCUUGCUGAAUCAUAUCCGUGCCUAUUAACUUAGUCUCGCCAACAUCAAACCAACCAAUGGGUGAUCUGCACUUCCUCCCAUAUAAGGCCUCGUACGGUACCAUCUGGAUUCUAGAAUGGUAGCUAUUGUUAUAGGUGAACUCAAUGAGCGGCAAGUGGUCAUCCCAGCUACCUUUGAAGUCAAUAAUACAGGCCUGCAACAUAUCUUCUAAUGUCUGAAUAGUAUGCUCAGCCUGCACAUCAGUCUGAGGGUGAAAUAUUGUGCUAAGGUUCACCUGUGUCCCCAAUCCCUUCUGAAACGAUCUCCAAAAGUUGGCUGUAAAUUGAGCUCCUCUGUCUGAUAUAAUGGACGUGGGAACUCCAUGAAGUUUCACUAUCUCCCUGACAUAUAACCUCGCAUAAUCUUCAGCCGAAUAAGUAGUCCUGACUGGAAGAAAAUGGGCCGAUUUCGUCAGCCUAUCUACAAUAACCCAUAUAGAGUCAUACUUCCGUGGAGUGCGAGGUAAGCCUGUAUUGAAGUCCAUAUUAAUCAUCUCCCAUUUCCAAGUUGGGAUCUCUAUCUCUUGUUAUUAUCCACCAGGCUUUUGAUGUUCGAUCUUGACUUGUUGACAAUUGGGGCACUGAGCAACAAACUCCGCUAUGUUCUUUUUCAUGCCAUCCCACCAAUAUAAGCAUCUGAGGUCAUGAUACAUUUUCGUUGACCCUGGGUGAAUAGAAUAACGGGCAGAGUGUGCCUCUCCCAUAACCUGCCGUCGUAGCCCCGCAUUAUCGGGUACACACAAUCUGCCUUCAUGUCAUAACACUUCGUCAGGUGUAACCUUAAAUGGGGUCUUUUCCUUUUGAAGAGCUGCAUCUCUAUAAUAUGCCAAAAUAGGGUCCUUGUAUUGGUGACUCUUUACCUCAUCUAUGAUUGAGGACUCAGCAACCUCUCGAAUAGAAACUCCACUAUCUUCUAAAUUAGCCAGACGGACUCCAAGGCUAGAUAGCCGUUGAAUCUCCCGAACCAUAUCCCUCCUUUCUGGUUGUACAUCUGUCAAGCUACCCAUGGACUUACGGCUAAGAGUAUCUGCUACAACAUUCGCUUUCCCUGGAUGAUAUAAAAUAUCAACAUCAUAAUCCUUUAGAAACUCUAACCACUUCCUCUGUCGUAAGUUCAGCUCCUUCUGUUUAAAGAUAUAUGGGAGACUCUUAUGAUCUGUAUAGAUGUCCACAUGGACACCAUAUAAAUAAUGCCUCCAUAUCUUCAAGGCAUGAACCAUGACCGCUAACUCCAGAUCGUGAGUAGGAUAGUUCUUUUCAUGCUUCCUAAGCUGUCGGGAGGCAUAGGCUAUAACUUUGCCACGCUGCAUCAAUACACAUCCUAGCCCAACACCCGAAGCAUCACAAUAAAUAACAUAGCCGUCUGGUCCCUCCAGAAGAGUUAGGACUGGAGCUAUAGUCAAUUUGUCUUUCAAUAGCUGGAAGCUUCGCUCACAAGCAUCAGUCCACUGGAACUUGGCUGCCUUUUGAGUUAGCUUUGCCAUAGGCGCUGAAAUUGAGGCAAACUUUUCUACGAAUCUCCUGUAAUAUCCUGCUAACCCCAGAAAGUUGCGUACCAUAGUAGGUGUCGUAGGUCUGGGCCAAGUCUUUACCGCCUUAAUCUUCUGCGUGUCUACCCGAAUACCAUCAGCUCCAAUAAUAUGCCCCAAGAAUGCCACUGAAGUAAACCAGAACUCAUACUUAGAAAAUUUAGCAUACAACUUCUGGUGCUGAAGCACCCUAAGUACCGUCCUUAAAUGGUCUGCAUGCUCUUCUUCUGAACGUGAAUAGACCAGAAUAUCAUCUAUAAAUACAAUAACAAACAUAUCAAGGAAUGGUUUAAAUACUCGAUUCAUUAAAUCCAUAAACACCGCUGGAGUAUUAGUCAGCCCAAAAGACAACACUCUAAACUCAUAAUUCCCAUAUCGGGUCUGGAAUGUCGUCUUUGGAAUAUCUGCCUCCCUUACCCGCAUAUGAUGAUAACCUGACUGCAAGUCUAUCUUUGAAAAACAUUUUGCACCCUGCAACUGGUCAAAUAGAUCGUCAAUCCUUGGGAGGGGAUACCUGUUCUUUAUUGUUACUUUGUUCAGCUGCCUAUUAUCAAUGCACAUCCGCAGUGACCCAUCCUUCUUCCUUACAAACAGUACCGGUGCUCCCCAAGGUGACGUACUAGGCCUGAUGAAGCCCUUUUCUAGCAAAUCCCUCAAUUGCUCUUUCAAUUCUUUCAACUCAUCAGGUUCCAUUCUAUAAGGAGGUUUAGAUAUAGGCUAGGUAUCUGGCAGUACAUCUAUAGUAAACUCGAUCUGACGAUCUGGAGGAAGGCCUGGAAGUUCCUCAGGGAAUACAUCGGAAAAUUCAUUAACUACCGGGACUGAUUGAAGAGUCGGUGCCUCUGCCUUUAUGUCAUGCACCCGAAUCAGAUGGUAAAUAUAGCCUUUUCUAACCAUCUUCCCGGCCUUAAGGUAUGAAAUGAACUUACCUUUCGGCGAUACUGUACUCCCCUUCCACUCUAUAAUUAGUUCCCCUUGAAAUUGAAAUCGAACUAUCUUUCCUCUGCAAUCAACAUUAGCAUAACAAGCAUCCAACCAAUCCAUGCCCAUGAUAAUAUCAAACUUAAUCAUAUUUAACUCUAUUAGAUCUGCUACGGUACGACGAAUAUAUAUAACUACUGAACAAUUCUUAUAUACUCGCGUAGCUAUGACAAAAUCUCCUACAGUUGUAGCUACCUCAAAUGGUUCUAUAACCUCAGACUCUAUUCCGAUCCUACUAGCAACAAAGGGUGAUAUAAAUGAUAAGGUGGAACCUGGGUCUAUCAAUGCAUACACACUUCGGGAGAAUAGUGAUAAUAUACCUAUGAUCACAUUAGGUGACGCCUCCUGAUCCUGCCUA